RNAcentral lists this long non-coding RNA (74774 nucleotides) under Arachis ipaensis. Its description in RNAcentral is "long non-coding RNA (AIPA_LNC001446)". The stretch from base 36972 to 37075 matches the Rfam family "Plant small nucleolar RNA R71". The record is from RNAcentral. Lineage: Eukaryota; Viridiplantae; Streptophyta; Magnoliopsida; Fabales; Fabaceae.
CUUUCCAGCCUUGUUGAGCAGCAACUGCUAACACCAAUCUAAUUGUAUCUAAUCUGGACACCGGUGCAAACGUGUCAGAAUAAUCAACACCAAAAAUUUGUGCAUACCCUUUUACUACAAGUCUGGCCUUGUAUUUAUUGAUAGAGCAAUCCGCAUUAAGCUUUGUUCUGAACACCCAUUUAACUCCAAUAACUUUUCUGUCUUAAGGCUUGUCAACCUUUUUCCAUGUGUUGUUUUUUUGAAUCAUUGAAAUCUCAUCCUCCAUUGCCUUUUUCCAUUUUGGAUCCUUGAGUGCUUCUUCACAGCAACUAGGUUCGCAUACUGCUACAUUGCAUCUUUGAUAAAUGUCUGACAGCAGUCUUGUGCCUCUGAUGGGAUGAUCAUCUUCUAAUUCAUUUUGACACAACUCUGUUGUUUGGUUUCCGCAUACCUUAGCUUGUAUAUUUGAACUUAAUGGGGCAAGAGUUUUAUGAAAACGUGUAUUCUGAGUAUGAAUUAUUCAAAGAUGGAUAUUUUUAUUUCGUUGCUAUCCUUCGCUAAUUAAUUAAGAGGACCCAGGUCGAUUAAAUUGGCUCUGUAUUUUACAGUUCCAUAUAUAAUAAAAUGAUUUUUUUUUUUCAGAUUUCCGUUUGCUUACAUGUGGAAGGUUCCUUUGUUUUUUUCACGGUGCACACAAAAGAAAAAAAAAAUUAGUUAUUUCCCUUCCCUUGCCUCCUCCAGUUUAGACGACUAAUAGCAACAAUUGAAAGACAUCACAAUUUAUAAUACUGAAGAUUAAAUUAAUUACGUUAUAUUAAAUGUAUUUUAUGUUAUUUUCUUUAUUUAAAGCAAAAUUGUUUAUGUUUCCACUAUAUCGUCUUAAUUAUUAGAUAAAAAAGCAACUAAUUUGCAAUUAAAGAAAAAUUUAAGUCAAUUAUAUCGUAAAAAAACUUAUAUAUAUUAUGAAAAUUUAAGCGCAACACAUAUAAGAAUGAUAAAAUAUCAAAAUAAAAAACACAUUAAAAUUUGACAGUGAUAAAAUUAAAUAUGCUUGAACAACAAUUUACUCACAGACACUCAAAAAAAAAAAAUUAAUUACUCCAUUAUCCUCAACUAAUUUUAAUUUUUUUUAUUUAUUUUAUAUUUAAAAUUAUAAAUUUUUAACCUUAAUUAGACUCUAAAUUAUAAUUUCUAAACCCUAAAUUCUUCAUAAAAUAAAAAUUUUUAGAAUUAAAAAAAUUGACUAAUGUUAACGAAUUAAAAAUUAAUUUCUAAUACUUUUUGACAUAAAAAGAAAAAGAAAAACAUUUUUUUUUUCAAUUAGUAGAAAACAUAACAUUUAAGUUAUAUUUGUUUCUAAGCAUAAGAUGCUAAAAUAUAAACACAAAAAUAUAAAAUUAUAUUUGAGAGAUGUUAAAAGAGACAGAGACAUACCUCAAAAUAUGGAAUUAGUGUAUUUUGUAUCUUUACGAACAGAAAUAACACAAACACUAAUUUAUAAUUAUAAUUUGUUUUUUUACUAAGAGAUACAAUUUAUUUUUUUAUAUUUUUUCUUUCAUUAUUUCUAUUAUCUUUUAUAAUUAUAAAUUUUAUUAUUAUAUUUUUCUUCUUAAAUANNNNNNNNNNNNNNNNNNNNNNNNNNNNNNNNNNNNNNNNNNNNNNNNNNNNNNNNNNNNNNNNNNNNNNNNNNNNNNNNNNNNNNNNNNNNNNNNNNNUUAAAUAUUUUGGAUAAAAAAAUAAAUUAAAUUUUUAAAAUUUAUUCUUUCUUAUAUUUAACUUAUCAUCAAAUAAAAUAAUUUUGUGUCUUUAUUCUUUAUAUCUCAUCCUCAAAAUCUUUAUCUUAUUUUGUUAUGAGAAUCAACGUGUCUUAUAUUAUGCACGCUAGACUGCUAGAGUCCCUUGGGAUGCCUAGUCAUACGAAUAUUAUAGCCCAUGUCUUCAGUUUUUACAGCCUCACUCUUCUUAAUUUUGUUGUUGUGAGGCUUCAGCUGCUGCGAUUGUUUUGGUUAAGUUCAUUCCCUUGGAGAUAUUCUUAGGUUUGCUGAGAUCAGCCAUGUAGAUCGAUAUAUCAAUCAAUGCAAUCGAUCAUAAUAAUAGUAAUAAUCACUACCAGAAAUGCGGUGAUUAGCCACGGAAAAAAUCGUGGCUAAAAUCAAGAAAUUCCGUAGCGAUUAAGCUUUAACAACGAAUACAUUUCCGUGGCUAACAAGGACGACGCCUUUUCAGUUAGCCACGAUUUUCAUCCGGUUAGCCAUAGUUUUAUGAUCCGUAGAGACAUCUGAAUAGCCACGGUUUUUACGUUAUUGGCCACACUCUAAACCGUAGCUAAAUGACAACAGUGUAACCAAGUAUAGCUUUGCGACAAUUUUUCCGUGGCUAAUAUUGGUAAGCUGGGCUUUUUUGCCACAUUUUUUCCGUAGCCAAUAUUGGUAAGCUGGGCUUUUUUGCUACAUUUUUUCUGUGGCUAAACAUUGUUGGGUUAUUUAGCCACGAUUUUUUCGUGGCUAAUCAUAAAAGAUAAAUUAAAAAAUAUAUAUAUAUAAAAUAAAGAUGCUACUUAGAACAAAAUUAUAUUAUACAAAAUUAAAAAGAUUAGCCAUAUCCAUAUAAGUAAUAUUUUUAGUAAUAAAAAUAUGAAAUUUAAGUAACAAUGUUGAAAAGCAAAUAUCCUGAACUAAAUGAGUUUAAACUAUUACAAAAUCAAGUAUCAAAAUGUAUCAUUAUUAGAUCUCUAAGGUCUUCAUUGGAAUACUUGCAAAAACAUUCAAAUAAGAUUGUGUUAUCUCUUAAUUCAUGAAAAAAAGUCCCAAGACAUUAUUUAAAAUAAUAUUUUAAUGUAGUUAAAAAAAAGUAGGAAUGCAUACCAAUAAUGCUGAGUUUUCAUUUUCACAACAUAAAACAUCUUAUUGAACCCGUCAUCAAUCAAUAUAUAUAUUGCUAGACUUGAUAUCCUGGUGAACAACUUUCAAUUCAAUUGCUUCAUACAAGUAAAUGAGCAAGCCUGUCAUGAAUAAAGAUAAAAUAGAUAGUGAUAUUAAUGAUAUUUUCUCAUAUUAAAACUUAACUAUAGUAUUAUUUAACGAGACAAACGAAUACUAUUAGCGAGAUAUUGGAUUGCAAUCAAAACCAUUUAGAGAAAAAGAACUUAAAGUAAAAAUAAAAAUGUGUUAGAAAUUACUAAGGUCAAUAUUUUAAAGUAGAAAGUUGAGCUUACCAGGUAACUAUCGAAUAAAACUUUCAUGCGGACCUCCCAGGUAAGUGUCCCUUGUUCCAUGGCAACAUGCAUCCAUUACUCUAAGUUACCAUUAUUGACAUAUUCAUCCAUUAGCAGCUUAAAUAUUGAAACAAACACUAAAGCAAAAAUACUAUUGAUAAUACAAAGAAAUAGAUAAUUAGAUACUAUGUACUCGAAAAUUGUGAGAGCACAUAUAAUAACUUAAAGAAGUGCAACUUUAUUCAACGUUGGUAUCAGGACCUUUAACACUGUCUUCUACUUAGUUCAAAUUUAUCCAUAUUCAUAUAAGUUUCAAUAAUUACAAAGUUACAAAGCUAAAUUAAAAGUUGAACAAUUUAAAAUAAAACACAAACUUGCAUGGAGAUCCCAGCAUCGACAAGAGACAAAGUUGCAGCAUUGAUACACACAGAUCUAGUUCCUACACAGGAAUAUUGGGGAAGAAUUAGUGAAUGGUAAAAAAAAAUAGUCUUUUAAAUACAAAAAAAAUUAAAGAUUCAAGAGAAUAUUAGAUAAAUAUAAAAAAAGCUGCUUAGGGUUCUUUCCAUUCUUCUUUGUAAUUCAGGAUUACCUGCAAAAUCUUCGAUUUUCGCUAUUUUGGGACCUUCUUUGGUAAUUUAACGUUGAAUUUACUAAGGAUACAGAGAAAAUGAACAAUAGUAUGAACUGUGAAGGAGUUCUUCCAAUUUUCCAGUGAGUGGGCUUUACUUUGGUGUUGAGUGAAAAUUACUUUUAAGUUUUUCGCCCAAAAUUUCACUUGUAAAAGUUCAUUUGAAUUUAUUUCAGUCAAGUAAUUGAGAUUUUUAAUUUAAAUUAAUAGUUAACUAUAAAAAAUAUAUAAAUUAUAAUAUAUACCAUAUUUCAAAGACGAUACAUACUAAUUACUGUUACGUUAAUUUAUGUUGGAUAUUUUUUUUUACUAAAUUGAUAAAAAGAUAAUAAAAAAAUAAAAAAAUUAAAUUUAGAAAAACUAAUGCAUAUUGUAAAUUAGAGACAAAAAAAAUGUACUCUUUUUUAUCAUGAAUUUUAUAUAUACUUUUAACAUUCAUUCUCAAUUAAUUAAAGCAAUAAGUAUGUAUUCUUUUUAUACUAUUUUAACUAAUGCAUCUUCUAGUCACAAAAAAAACUAAUGCAUCUUCGGUUACUCAAUGCUGAAUUUACUAAGGAUACGGAGAAACUGAACAAUAGUCUGAACAUGUGAGAGAAUUCUUCUGAUUUUCUAGUGAGUGGGCUUUACUUUGGUGCUAAGUGAAAGUUAUUUUUUUCCGUCUAAAAUUUUACUUGUGUAUUGUAAAUGUUCAUUUGAAUUUAUUUCAGUCAAGUAAUUAAGAUUUUUAAUUUAAAUUAAUAAUUAACUAUAAUAAAAAAUACAAAAUUAUAAUUAUAUAUCAUAUUUCAAAGACGGUACAUACUAAUUAGGAUUAUGGAUUUUGACUCGAAUUUAAAAAAUAAACGAAAAAAAAUAUUAAAAUUUUGUAACUAUUUCAAAAAUAAACCUACGUUAACUUAUGUCGGAUAUUUUUUUAUUAAAUUAAUAAAAAAAUAAAAAAUAGGAAAAUUAAUACAUAUUGUGAAUUAGGGACAAAAAAAUGUACUCUUUUUAUUAUGAAUUUUAUAUUUUUAUCAUCCAUUCUCAAUUAAUUAGAGUUAUAAGUAUGUACUCUUUUUAUAUUAUUCCAACUAAUGCAUAUCUUAUCAAUUGAAAAUGGCUGGGAAGGAGAGAGAAAAAAUCAUCGACAAACUAGAUAAGUCUGCACCCUUAAAAAUUAAAAUUUAUUAUUAAAGUUUAAAUUUGGAAAAAAUAGGAACUGCCUAUAAAAUUUUUGAAAGGAAUGGAAGGAAACACUAGAAGCGCAUAAUUUAAAAGUAGACAUGUUUGAUUUCGGCUACGGUGAGCAUUGGGUCUGUGGUAAUUGAGAGAAUCCGAUUCAAAUUGGCCACAGACAAACAAGAACGUGGGAAACUUUCGCACAAUUUAACCACGGAAAAGCAAAACGUUGCAAGUGAUUACGACGAUCAUGAAAAUUUGCCACUGUUUUUUGUUCGUGAGUAUUUUCCCGUGGUAAACUAUCGUGUUUCUGGUAGUGAAUAUUGUGAUUGUGAUCAAUGAAAAUGUUCAAUUUGAAAUACAAUAUUCUUGUUUUGGUGUGCUCUUCAAACUCCACAAAAUGACUAUAUAUAGAGAGCGGCUAGGGUUUUAUACAUGACUGACGUGGCAUAUAGUAGCAAUUAACAGGGCAAUUCUCCUUUGGCAAAAUGUGCUUUAAUUUGUAUGUGUAAUUUAGAAAAAUUAAUACAUACUGUGAAUUAGGGACAAAAAAAUGUACUCUUUUUAUUAUGAAUUUUAUAUUUUUAUCAUCCAUUCUCAAUUAAUUAGAGUUAUAAGUAUGUACUCUUUUUAUAUUAUUCCAACUAAUGCAUAUCUUAUCAAUUGAAAAUGGCUGGGAAGGAGAGAGAAAAAAUCAUCGACAAACUAGAUAAGUCUGCACCCUUAAAAAUUGAAAUUUAUUAUUAAAGUUUAAAUUUGGAAAAAAUAGGAACUGCCUAUAAAAUUUUUGAAAGGGAUAGAAAGAAACACUAGAAGCGCGCGUAAUUUAAAAGUAGACAUCGUUUGAUUUCGCCACGGUGAACAUUGGGUCUGUGGUAAUUGAGAGAGUCCAAUUCAAAUUGGCCACAGACAAACAAGAACGUGAGAAAUUUUUGCACAAUUUAACCACGAAAAAGCAAAACGUUGCAAGUGAUUACGACGAUCAUGAAAAUUUGCCACUACUUCUUGUUCGUGAGUAUUUUCCCGUGGUAAACUAUCGUGUUUCUGGUAGUGAAUAUUGUGAUUGUGAUCAAUGAAAAUGUUCAAUUUGAAAUACAAUAUUCUUGUUUUGGUGUGCUCUUCAAACUCCACAAAAUGACUAUAUAUAGAGAGCGGCUAGGGUUUUAUACAUGACUGACGUGGCAUAUAGUAGCAAUUAAAAGGGCAACUCUCCUUUGGCAAAAUGUGCUUUAAUUUGUAUGUGUAACCUAACUUGUCAAAGGAGAUAAGCACCAUAACUGGUUUGAUCCCUACUAAGAAUUUGUUUGGAUGAGUUUCUAAAAAAAAUAUUUUUUUAGUUAUUUUUUUUAAAAAAUCUUAUCAAAAAGUAAAAAUAAUUUUAUGUUUAGGUAUAAUUAACAAUAUAAAAGUACUUUUUUUAUUUAUUAUGUAAAAAAUAUAUUUUUUUUAAAAAAAUAUAUUUUAAAAAAGAUGUAAAUUGUAACUUCUUAAAAAAGAUUUUUUUCUAGUACUUUUACUUUUAUUACUAGAAAUCUGCCAAAUACGUUAAAAAAUAAAGAAAGAACUUUUUUCAAUAAAAAAAUCUUUUUUUAUCAAGAUAAUAACAUCCAAACAAACACUAAAUAUUUAUUCUAUAGUACAAGCAAAAAGCAUUUUUUUUUGGGUAAUGCUAAGGAGAAAAAAAAAACAGCCAGAACUUAUCUUAUUUAGUAUUCAUUAAUUAUCGUAAUAAUUAAUAAAUACUAAAUAAGACAAGUUAUAGUUAUUUUUGGUUAAUUUUCUUUGGUUAUCGAAACAUUUCUCUUUACUAAUUAGAGAAAAUAUCAUUCCCCUUCCCUAUGAGAUACUAAAAUGUCACUCCCUUCCCCUCUAUUUAUAAAAUGUAUAUUCUCCUUCUUUAUAACUUUUAAAAAACUUCAUCUUUAAUUCAUUUUAAAUUUUGUGUGAAUUAAUGUUAAUUUUAUCCAUUUUUCAAGAAAAAAUAAAUUAUAUUUUAUAAAAAUAUCCUUUAGCAAAAAUUUUAUUUUUUGUGAUUAAAUUUUGUAUACCAAAAUAUUCUUUAACAAAUUAUUUUUCUAGUGAUUGAAUUAUAUUCUUACCAAAAUAUUCUUUAAAAUAUUUUGUAAUGAUUAAAUUAUUUUUUUACUAAAAUACCCUUCAAUAUCAUUUUUCUAGUGAUUAAAUUGUGAUAUCAAUACAUAUUAUUUUAACAUUAAAUUAAAGAGAAAUUCUCCACAUACAAGCAUUUUUUUAUACAAGUCUUUACAAGUUAUUAUAUUAACGCGCUUGAACUGUUACUGUACGUUCUUCUUCCUCUUCCUCUUCUUCUUUUUUUAUUUCGUUUCUUGCUUUCUCUUUCUCCUUCAACCGUUACUGCACAAUUUCACUGCACCGUCGUCUUCUUCUUGCUGCACAUUCUUCUUCCUCUUCCUCCUCCUCUUCUUCUUCUUCUUCUUUUCUUUCGUUUUUGUAAAAAAUAAUUUAGUUUUUCUUGAAAAUAGAUAAAAGACAUUAGUUAACACAAAAGAAUUUAAAAUAGAUUAAAAUGAGAUUUUUUAAAAUCUAUAAAAGAGGAAAAUAUACAUUUUAUAAAUAAAGAGAAAAAAAUAUUAUUUUAGUAUCUCCUAGGAGAAGAGUGGUAUUUUCUCUACUAAUGACCAAUCAUUGCACUGUUUUAAAACUACUACACAAAAGUCAAAACUCUUCCCUUCAAAAGGUUAUGUCUUUUAAUUUGCACCACUUCAUAUUGAAAAACCUCCCUAUAAAUAUUAAUAAUUCUUCAUAGCUCCAUCAUUCCAUAACCAUUUCAAGAACUAGAAAGAUGGCAGAAAAAGAAACCGACCAAAUUUCUUCAUUACCCGAAGAGCUUCUUCUCAACAUUCUUUCCUCGCUUCCUUUCAAAGAAGCAGCGAAAACAUGUAUCCUCUCCAAGAAGUGGUUCAAGAUGUGGCAAUCUACCAACACAGUGAAGAACAACCAACUCGAAUGCAAGAAGGUAGAAGCUUAUGGAGCCGUUGAAGUACCGCAAAGGAAGUCUUUCAAGAACUUCAUCAAGAUCUGGAUCACAUUGUACAAAAAUCACCAUCUCCACGACAAAUUCACCCUCAAGGUUUCUCCUCCUUCGAACUGCGGUGACAUCGUUGGAGCCUCCGUCGAUUUCGCCGUAGAGGACGGCGUGAAAGAUUUGGAACUCGAUUUCGCCGAAGCGCAGUGGGAGGACGAACAUCCUGAAGAGAAUAUCCACGAUGCCUCGGUUGAAUUUCCGAGACACCUUUACGAGAACAAGAAACUGCACCAGAUGCUCGAGAGUUUGAAACUGCACUCGUGCAGUUUCGCGCCUGCAAAUUUCGCCAAGUUUGUGGCACUGAAAGAUGUGACUCUUGCUUGGAUUCCGUUGCAACUGGAAUCGAUUAGGACGCUGUUAUCGACGUGCGAGUGGAUCGAGAGUUUGAGCCUGAAGAACUGUUGGGAUAUUGAAUCCUUUGAUGUAAAGAAAUUGGAACUGAAGAAGUUGGUGAUUGAUAGGUGCAUAAUUGGAACAGAUUAUAUUGGUUUUGAGGCGCCAAAUUUGAAGGUUUUCAAGUACUGUGGUUCAGUGCCGCCGGUGUCUGAAGUGAAGGUGGAAGCUGGUACCAUGGAGGAGGCAGAUCUUGAUUUAAGCCCCAUGGAUGAGUUCUUUGAAUGUGGCAACGAACUUCAGAAUUUUCUUCAAGAUUUCUUUGCGGUCAAUGUUCUUACAGUUUGCAGCGUGAUUCUUCAGGUACUUCGUAUAUGUGUGUUAUUGCAAAGGUUUCUUUGGUUUUGGGAAUAGUAAUAGUUAGAAAUGGUAGACUGUAAGACUAUAUUUCAUUACUAAAUUUCUAGCUUUAUAUUUAAGUAUAUAUACUAAUACUAAUAUAGUAACUAAAACGUUUUUUAUAAUUUUAUUAAUUUGUUAAUGAAUGAAAGGUGAUUCCUUCGGGAGAUGAACCCGUGAGGCUACCAGGGGGUUUGAGGGUGAGACACUUGAAGAUGAAAAUCCAAAUGCAUCCCCAAGAAUUUUGCGGAUUCCUUUGGUUUCUCAACAGUUGUCCUAGGUUGACCAAAGUAGCAACAAGCGACCAACUCUAUGCAUGCUCCUAUUUCAUCAGUGCGGCUUCAAUUUUGACGAAGCUCAGCAUCAAUGUCUUGAAGAACAAGAAUGAUGACCCUAACACGGUGGAGAUGCGUCGUAUUUUAGCAUCGCAAUUGCUCCGUAUUCCAAAGGCUUCAAGAGUUUUGGCCAUAAUAAUUCGUUGACUGUUAUUAUGGUUGGGAGAAAACUCUCUGUUAAUAGAUAAUAGAGAUGCGAGUUAUAUAUAUGGUUAAGGAGUACACUGAUAAAUAAGUCUGUACAGUAAUUUUUCCCCUAAUACCUGGCCUACUGAUGAAUUAGUAGAUGUAUCCUAUGAAAUUUUAAUAUAAUAUUUGGUAAUUUGUGUUGUGAUAAAUAUAAAUUGAUGUCCAUUUAAUAUAUUGUGAUUUUUUUUACAAUGUUGGGCGGUUAAUUUUUUUGAUACAAAAAUUUAGUUUUUCAAUAAAGACUAAACUUUAUGAAGUUUGAAAAAUAAAUAUUUUGUCCACGUAUAAAUAGUAAUAAAAUCUGAAGUAUAUGACACACAACAAUAAUAAAAUACUUUUCUCUUUUUUUACAUGCUACGAUAAUUAUAUAAACAUUCUUCUCUCUUUUUUAUAUAUACAUUACUACAUAUUAGUAAUAUAUAUAUGAAUCAUUUCUAUUAUAUUAAGAUAUUAAUUACGGUGAACAUUAAUAUUAGAUUUAUUUUUUUACAUUUUUUAUUUUAUAUUUAUUUUCUUUUUUUUAUUUAUUUAUUUUACAACACACUAUCAGCACGAGAUUCUGAUCAAAAUUUAGGAAGACUCAGGUAAUAAAUUUUUAUUAUGUCAAAUUAAAGCUCUCUUAUCUUAAAUUUAAUACUCUUGAUAUAUUUGAAAACAACUACUUAUCAUGGAUACUAGGUGCCGAAAUACAUCUUGAUUCAAUGGAUCUUUAGAGAUGCCAUUAAGGUUUCAAAAAGAUAAAGCCAAAGUUAUGAUCUUCUUUCGUCGUCACCUUGACGGAAGAUUGAAAAAUAAAUAUCUCCCACUAAAACAUUCUACAGAUCUGUGGAAAAACCUUGAAAAAAGGUAUAAUCAUAAAAAAAAUAGUGAUACUCCUCAAACCCAAUAUGAGUGGACACACUUACGUCUACAGGAUUUUAUAUAUAUCCAUAAAUAAAUACACAAUUCAGCAAUGUUCCGAAUUACCUCAUGAAUAAAAUUAUGUGGGAAAAAGAUAAAUUAUAAUGACAUAUUAGAAAAAAAUUUUUCGACCUUUUAUGACUCGAAUGUGCUCCUGCAACAACAAUAUCGAGAAAAAGAAUUUAAAAAAUAUUCUGAGCUAAUUUUUUGUCUUCUUGUUGCUGAAUACAACAAUGAGUUGUUUUUAAAAAAUCAUGAAGCGCGCCCAGUUGGCGUCGCCCCAUUUUCUAAAGCAAAUGCAGUAAAUCAUUACUUCAAAAGAGAUAAAUGGCAUGAUUUUGGUAACAAGAAAAAUUAUGUUCACAAGAAAGGAUCUCAUCAGAAGUGGGAUAAAGAAAAAAAAUAAUGGGCAAAAUAAACCAACAGUGGAUAAAUAUUUCCAUUGUGGUGGAAAGGGCCACGUAUCUGUCGUACCCCAAGGCACUUAGUUGAUCUUUAUUAAGCAUCUUUGAAAAAGAAUGAAAAAGGAAAGAAAACAAAUUUUGUUUCAAAUGAUGUUGCUAAAAAUUACACCACUCAUUAUGAAGUAUUUGAUUUCUUUGAGGAUCUUGAAGGAAAUAUUGGUCAUCUGAUCAAUGAUGAAAAAGUCUAAUAUGUGGGUUUGUUCAGUACUCAUGUAAAUAAAUAAUGUAAGAAACUUCUUGUUAAAUUUUAUUUUCUACGUGUUUGGAUUUUAAAUAUGGAUAAGUAUUAUUUUAGUCCCUAACGUUGAGGGUCAGAAUCAAAACCGUCCCCAACAUAAUUUUUUAUUUAGAAUCAUCCUUAACAUUUUUUUCGUAUUAAAAUCGUCUUUUUUAACUUUUUCUGGACAAAAAUACUCUCAACUACUAUCAGCACCUUUACUUCUACCACCACCAUUAGUACCUUUACUUCCACCACCACCAGCACCUUUACCUCCACCACCAAGAAAAACAACAUCAAUGAAAUCAACAUAAAUUCAACAAAUCAAGGAAUCGAAAAUUCAACAAAUCAACACAAAUUCAACAAAUUUAACAAUCAAAUCAACACAUAAUAACAUUAAAAUCAGAAAACAACAAAUCAAAAUCAGAAGCAGAAGCAGAGGCAGUCACAGAAGUAGAGAAAGCAAAGGCAGUCACAGAAUUAGAAAACUUAUCAUGCUCCUUGAUUUUAUUUCUGAUUAAAAGCAAGAAAGCAAAAACAGAAGCAAAUUCAAGAAUCGGGAAGCAAAAAGCAAGAAGUAGAAGCAAAAAGCAAGAAGCAGAAGCAAGAAAGCAAGAAGCAAAAGCAAAAAGCAAAAUCAGAAAAGUAAGAAAGUAGAAGCAAGAUGCAGAAGCAGAAAGCAAGAAGCAGAACCAAAAAACAAGAAGCAAGAAGCAAAAAGAGAGGGGCAAGGUGCAGAUGAAACGGCGAGGCGGCAAGGCGGCGAGGCGGCCGGCGAGGUGCAGCAGUGAGGUCAACGGCGGCAGUGGCUCGCGUCUCCUCUCUCCCUCGUAUUGGCUCAUGCAAUAUGAUAGAAGGCUCUAGAAGAGUUAUAAUUUUGUUUCCCAAAUGAACAAAAUUCAUAAUAAAUAAUGUACUAUUGUCUACCAAGUCUCUAAAGAACUUGUUGAGUUUUAAAGGUAUUUGCCAAAUGGAUAUCAUAUUGAAACAAUGAAUGGGGAAUAUCAUGAGUAAUUAUAUAUCACAACUCAUGAUUCAAAUAAAAAGACUAUAUUAAAAAUGUUACGCUCACUUUCAUCUGGGUUAUAUUAUACUAAAAUGAGUGUAAUUGAAUUACAUGCCAUUAUAAACCUGCAAAAGUUUACUAACCUAAAUGAAUUUAAAAAAUUUGGCAUGAUCGAUUGGGUCAUUCAGGAACAACCAUGAUGCGAAAAAUUAUUAAAAACUCCCAUGGACAUUCACUAAAGAACCAGAAGAUUUUUAAAUUUAGUAAAUUUUGUUGUGCUGCAUGUUCUCAAGGAAAACUAAUUUUAAGGCUAUCACCAGUAAAACUUAGAUUUGAGUCUCCUAAAUUUCUAGAAAGGAUUCAAGGCAAUAUAUGUGGACCUAUUAAUCCACCAUGUGGAUCUUUUAGAUAUUUUAUGGUCCUAAUAGACGCAUAUUUGAGAUGGUCACAUGUGUGCUUAUUGUCUUCUGCAACCUGGCGUUUACGAGAUUACUUGCGCAAAUUAUUCGAUUAAAAGCACAUUUCUCAGAAAAUCCAAUCAAAGUAAUUCUUCUUCACUCAUGAUCUUCAAAAUCAAUGAACAAUUGAUAUCCAAUAGAUCCGCUCAAGUGAUAAUCUGGCAGAUUUAUUUACAAAAUCACUUCCAAAAUCCUCCUUUAAAAAAUUGGUAUAUCAGAUUGGGAUGUGAUAAUUUCAAGAUAUAAAAUAAUGUUGGCAAAAGGAGGAGACUGUACUCUUUUUUCUUUGGUCAGGUUUUUCUCCAUAUUGAUUUUUUUUUUACAAAGUUUUUAAUGAGGCAGUCCUCGUCACAAAGGAUAUUGUACUAUUUUUUCUUUACUAAAAUUUUUUUUAUUGAAAUUUUCUUUAGUAAGAUUUUAACAAGACAUAAUCCUAAAUGGACAUCCAAUGAAAAAUGUUGCCCAUUUAAUACAUUGUGAUUUUCUUCACAAUAUUGGGCGGCUAACUUUUUUUAAUAGAAAAAUUUAAUUACUCAAAAAAGACUAAAUUUUAUGAAUUUGAAAAAUAAAUAUUUUGUACCAUUAAUACUAGAUUUAUUUAUUUAUGUUUUUUUAUUUUUUAUUUUUUCUUUAUUUAUUUAUUUUACACCAAUUUGAUUAGUAAUGCAACAUUAUUAUUGAAUAGUAGUUAGUUUCACAAAAUUACUUGAUCUUAAUAUUUUUUCGAAUAUGCAGAUACUAUUUGAAAGAGGAAGUAUUUAAGAAUGCAACUUAAUUAUAUUUGGUAUUAAACGAAAUUUAAUUUUAAUCUAUUAUUAAUAUAAAGUAAUUUUAUUCAUGAAUUCAAUUAAUAACGUUUAUCUUUUAAAAAAUUAUUAUUUUUAUUGAAUGUAUAAAUAAUUAUCCAAGAAUAUAAAUGUAAGUAUAUGAUUGAAUAAAAUAUUUUACACUGAUAAUACAUUAAACUCAAAAACUCAUCAUUGAGCAUGUAUUUUGAUAAGAUGGGGGCGAAAACAUAUUUAUUUGAUAAUAAAUUGAUAACUGUUGUCUAAUUAUAUUUUCUCUUAAAUAAAAUAAUAUGACUAAAAAUAAAAAUAUUCUCUGAUACAGUUUUAUUGUUUAGUCAAAUGNNNNNNNNNNNNNNNNNNNNNNNNNNNNNNNAAUUUAUAAUUUAAUCUUUGUUAAAUUCUAAAAUAAUUUUAAUAAUAAAAAACACGUGAAUAAUUGGUACACAUAAUCAAGGUGCACAUACAAAUAAAACUUUAUUGAGGUUGAAUAAAACUUGGCCAAGUAAGAGAAAUAAUUUUUCUUAAAUGGUUGAUAAGAGUGAUAAACUGAUAAUAUAGAGUUGCAGCAUGUGGGAAAUUAGAUAAAAUAGGGAAUAAAUAUUUAAUCCGGUUCUUAUUUAUUUUUUAGAAGGAUAAAGUAAUUUCUGUCUAAAAAAAAGGUACAUUCUGAUUCCUAUCUUUAUAUUUUAUGAGCUAUGACGGUUUUUUUGUGCCUUUCAACGUUAAAAACAAAUAGAAUAAGUAUACAUAUCACUUAACGGUAAUGAGUUGGUUGUUAGGUGUCCAUUAAAUACUAAGUUGUCAAUUUAAAAAUGGACAGGGGUUGAUCUAUCCUUGCCUCCCAAACAAAAACGCUGUUGUUUUAAGUGGGAUGGGAGGUUCAAAUGAUACGCUGCUUCACUAUAUACUUUGAAAAUGUAUCACUGUGUUCAACUGUAAACCCUAAGACGGCAUGGUUGAUAGUAAAGAACGUGGGUCGACAUCAAAUCGGUGAAGUGGGAGAGUUGAAAACGAAUCAGGUUGGAGUUUGAAAGUUAUUGGGAGUGUGGAAUCAAUGUGGAAGAAAAAGAGGGUUGUCCUAGAGUGUAAUUGUGGAAUUUAUGCAAUUUUAUUCAUGUCCGGAACCGAUAUAAACCCAAACAGACUAUUCUUUCGAUGCUCAUACUUCAAGGUAGGUUUAUGAACAAUUAAAAUUUUGUUCACUUUGUUUUUCAUUGAUGCUCAUAUUUCAAGGUAGGUUUAUCAAGAAUUUCAAUUAUGUUCACUUUGUUUUUCAUUAGAUUUAUAAUAAAAAAUAUUAUUUUGUAGACUCCAACACUUCAUUACAAAUACUUUUGUUGGCUUAAUGAUUAUGUUGCAUCAUUCAAUGAGGAUGCUGCAAAGACUCUUUUGUUCGGAGGUUUGAAGCUGAAUCAGAAUCAUAAAGAAGGUCAUUCUUCUGCGGAUGAUAACAAAAUUAGAAAGUUAGAGAAAAGAUUGGUUGGCUUAAAAAUUCAUUUGAAGAAAGUUAGAUUUAAUUUUAGUCAAAUUAGAUGCACUCAUGUUGAAUGUGUUAUGUUGGCAUUUGUUGUUGGAAUUGUAGUUGAAAACCUGUUUAAUGGUGUAGUUUAGAGAGAUCAAAUGUUGUUUCUGGAGUAUUGUGAAACAUGGUGAUUAUGGUUAAGUUGUUUAGACUAUAACAUUUGUUGCUAUUGAUCACUUUUGAUGCAUGAAUAUAAAUAUAAUUAACCUGCUUUUGUUUUUAUAUGUUCGUUUAUUAUUCAAUUUUAAAGAAUGCAGUAGUAUACAUAAUUUUGUAAUAAAAUAAGGCAUUAUAAAUUUGUUGAAUAAAGUAAGAAGCCAUCUGCUGAAAGUUGAAACUUAACACAUGAUACCAUAAUAAUAGAAUAAGGGAAUCAUCAUUACAGCCCUUACUAAUAUAGUUACCCAAAAGAGUAUUCAAUCAACUAUACCCACUUAAAACAAUAGCGUUUUUGUUUGAGAGGCAGGGACAGAUCGACUCUUUUCUAUUUUUAAAUUGACAGCUUGACACUUAAUGGAUACCUGACAGCCAACUCAUCACUGUUAAGUGACACGUAUACUUAUUUCAUUUGUUUUUAACGUCGGAAGGCACAGAAGAACCGCCAUGUCUUACAAAAUAUAAAAACAGAAGUCGGAACGUAUUUUUUUUUUAACAGAAAUCACUUUAUUUUUCUUAAAAAUUGAUAGGGACUGAAUUGAGUGUUUACUCUAAAAUGGGUGGGAUGAUAUGAUAUAAAGAGUAAUUGAGAGACUUAUUCAAAGAAAAUGAGUUAGUGAUGAUCACUUAAUUAAAUCUUCAAAAUUUUCCUAUAAAUAUAAUGGUAAUGCUAAGAAGAAAAAAAAAGAUUAAAAUUUACAUUAUUGAAUGUUUAUUAAUUAUUACAAUAAUUAAUAAAUAUUAAAUAACAUGAGUUAUGAUUAUUUUCUUUUGGUUAACAAAUAUUUUCGUAAAUCGCUUUCUAUAUAAUAAUGGUCAAAAGCUAUACAAAUUAAACAGAUAGACCAAUAAGAACGAAACGAACAAUAAUAAUUAACGAAUUACAAUUAAUUAACCAAAUAAUGAAUAAUCUUUGAUCAACAAUAACAAUCUCUGCUGCUGCAAGCUUAUUCCCACUUCCACAUAUGCAUGUACGGAUGUACCUUCAACAAAAAUAUUGAAAGGAUGAAUAAUAUUUAGUUAUCAUCUUCUUAACAUCAUGCUUAAUAUAUAACGAUGAGAUAAUAAUAUAUAUACUUUAAGUAGCUGUUUUGUUUCCUAGUGAUCAUGUGGGUUUUGUGGUCAUGUUAGGCGUAUAGGCCAUGUCUUCAGUUUUCGCUGCUCUGUUGUUGCUGCUGCUGCCGCCGUCGCUGCGAGCAGGGACAGAACUUAGUUAAAAUAAGGAGGCCAUGGUUUUCCAAACUUUUGAUAAAAAAAUUAGUAAUACUUUUUCGAAAAAUAAAAAAUUAGUUCAAUUGAUUCAAAUAUUUUGCUAUGAUUUAAAAUACCAAAGUUCAAUCUUCAUCUCUUGCUUUUAUUGCAUAGUAAUUUUUAGUUUUAAAUAUUAAAAACAUGUUGGAUUUGGACUGAACUGAAUGUAUUCGCAUUUCGCAACUCUCUAUUCAAUAAGCAACACUAUCUCUACCUUUGAGUUCAAAUAUAAAAAAUUAGGUUUUUUUAUUUAUGUAAUUUAAUAUUAUUUUAUAUUUUACUGUUUAUUUAAUUUAAUUUUUUAUAUGAUAAAAAAUAUUAGAAUAUUCAAUAAGUAUUGAUAUUAUUGUAUUUGUAUAAAUUGAUAAAAAAAUUCAAUAAAUAUUAUAAAUUUUAAUAUUUGUAAUUCUAACUUCUUUUUUACAUAUUUUAGAGGAUAUAUAUUCAAAUUUUUAUAUAAAAUAAUCAUGAAAAAUUAAAGAAUUGAUGCAUUUUUUAAGAAAAAAGCUAAUAUUCAAGAAGGAGAACAUAUAACAUUUACAAUAUCAACACAUGUAGAUAGUUCUUCUACUUUAAUGAAUCACGAAAAAAGUGAGAUACAACUUCCAAAAGUUCAAAGAGUUGCAUUUGAUGAAUUUGACCUUAAUUUUUUGGAACGAGACCCUGAAAAACGGAUUUAAAUUUGGCAAUAUCACCCAAAUCAGAGAGAUGAUGUUAGACGAGUUUAUCUUAAAUGGGAUUCAUAUCAAAAGCAUCUUGAUAAUUAUUUUCUAUCUGGCCCCCAAAAUUUUGUUUCAAGCUCCGCCACUGACUGCGAGACUGCUGGUUGCUACUGCUAUUGCUGCUGCUGCGAGACUGCUGGUUGCUGCUGCGGGACUGCCGGGUGGAUCGCGCAGGGAUAUGAGCUGGUCCACAUUUUCGGGUUUAGUUUGUCGAUUCAUUGUGAGAAAUGUAAUGUAAUUAUUAGUAAAAUGUUGUGAUCAAUGGACUAAUUAACACUGUAUUUGAUCUGCCAUUUCGUAUUUAUAGACGUUUUUGAUGCAUGCAUGUGUACAUUAGGGUACAUUUACAUGUAUGAUAUAUAUGAGCGUGUUAACAUUUGUAAACUUUGCAUGAAAUUUAACUUGUAAAAACAUGAUAUUUUGAUAUUGUUGUAUUCUUAUAUUAAUUGUAUAGUUCAGGUGCGUUGUUGGGAAUUUUCCUUAGCUUUCUUGAGAAAACUAAAAUAAUUAAGGAAACUCAUGGUAGCUAAGAGAGGCGUGUACGGUCAUUACUUUUAUUUUUUAUUUUUUUGUUGAAAGAGAUUACUGUUUCUUCAUGCUGAUGAGCAUUGCAUGAGAAAUGCUACUGCAUUUCGACGGAACUGCAGAGAAAUGCAUGGAAUACUCCUCUUUUUUUUUUUUUUAUAAGAAACUCAAUGACAAUAUAUAAUAACUGUAAAAGAAACGGUGGUGAGUAAUUUAUACAAGAAUUUCAGUGUCAUUUGCACGAAAGUGGAAAUAAGCCAUGGCGUGCGGCUGCGUGUUUGAAGUUGGAAGGGCGAAUUGUGAAGGUAUUUACAGUAACGUGUAUGUAGAAUGAGUAGUUGGACAUGAAUUAAAAAAGAUAGAUGAAUAGUCAACAUUAGAGAAAUUACCAGAAGUCAAUGGAAUAUUUGUAUAAUGUGUAUAAUGAAGGUUUAGGAAGUAUUAAAUAUAUAAUCAUUAGUGUUAUCUCUUCUCAUCAGAGCUGAAACUUUUGGGAUGAGUAGUAUCAUAACAUGGUAUUAGAACGCUAGAUCCGAAAGGCCAAAAGUUCGAUUUUUGGUGAACUCCAAAAUCAGUUUAAGUUAUUAUUCCUAGUACUCGGAUAGUUAUUCUAGAUAGUAUGAGGGAUGUUUAUUUUAUAACUCAAUAACUCAUUGUACACAUUAUACAAAUAAUCUAUUGUCUCCCUAACGAGACUCUCAACAUUAUUUAUUAAAUUAUUACUAUUGUUAUAUUUUCUUUGAUUCUUCUAUAAUUCUGUUACUUACUUCUGGGGCCCGGCCCGGCCAUAUUAAUAGUUAAAUUGAAGCGGUAUGCAGUCGGAUCAUAACAAUAGAAAGUGUAUUACAGAUUUUUUGACGGUGUAUUGUAAUGUAAUUCUUCAACAAUUUGACUGGGUAUAGAUUUUUAGAAGAUAAUUUAUCCCUUUUUUUUAAAAAAAGAAAUUGUUAGUGCAAAUACAAUAUUUUAUCAUUUUUUUUAAAUAAGACAAAAAAAUACUUGACAAUAAUAUUUAUUGAUAGAAAAAAAAUCGAGAUAUUCACUCCUCUUCAUUUCCCGCCUUGGCCUUGGACGGUGGCUGCCAAUGCUUGGUUUAAUCAAACCAGUGACUUGUAUUAUGUCUAUUUAUUCACUAUUUUGUUUAAAAAUAACAAAAUAUUAUAUAAAUCUAUAUAUAAACGAUAUUUUAGAAAAAAUGGUACCAUGAGGUGAUAACUUUAAGAAACACAAUCAUUUAAUAUUUUUUUAUCAUAUAAUCAAUUUAUAUUAACAAUUAAAAAUAACAACGAAAUAAAUCUUCUAUUAAUCGUGAUUUUUAUACAUAUUUUGAUAACGUGAAUCAACGGAUUUUUCUCUUGAUAAAAAUUAAAAAAAUUGUGUUUGUUGUUAAUUCAAUCUAUUUAUUUGACACCAAUUAAUUGAUAAGAAACGAGUAAUGUUAAAAAAAACGAGAUUAAAAGUAUAACAUAGUCGAUUGAAUUGCACACUAGAAUAUGAAUUUUUUCAUAUUCAAUCGAUUGAAAAUAUAACACAAUUAAUUGAAUUUCACAUGAUAAUAUAGAUUUUUUUUAUUCAAUCGAUUAAAAGUGUAACACAAUCGAUUGAAUUGGACAAUUAAAAAUAUAACACAAUCAAUUGAAUUUUGCACGGAAAUAUAAAAUUUUUUUAUUCAAUUAAUUAGAAGGAUAACACAAUUAAUUGAAUUGAGUAUUGCGCUAUAUAUCAUGCCUUCCUUUUUUUGAACAGCCUUCCUUAUUUUUAACAAAAGUUUCCAUUUUUACAUGACUUCUUUUCUCUCUCUAAAACUAAAAAACUUCUCUCUUCAUAGUAUGUGUUAUUAUAUCUUUAGAGACAUGCGAAUUAAUAUGUACAAAUAAACGAAGUUUAAAAAAUAUUUUGUUAGCAUUACUAAUGUAUUAAUAACAGGUAUGAUAAAAAAUUUUGUCAUUAUCAAAAUAGAUGUCCAAGUGAUAGAUUGUGCAAUUUUCAACAGAAAUUAUCAUUAGAUAUCAGUGUUUAUUCUCUUAAAUGAGAACAUAUAUAUAAACCAUAAAAUUGUAAUAUAAAUGUUAUAUAUGUUGUUAAGGAAAAAUUAUAUAUACCAAAGAAUAGACAAAAAAAAAACUUACAAAUUUUAAAUUAGUAGUGGGUUGCAUAAGUUUAUAAAUAUAGUAUUGCAUCUUGUUUAAAUCUAUCUUAGACAUUUACCUACAAACACUAAUAGAUUUAUAUAACUGUUAGAUAUUAAUUGGUACUAAAUUUUAAUAUUAAAAUAACCAUCUGUACACUAGUAAAAUAAACAUCCGAUAUAUCUAUUGUUUACCUUGUUUAAUAUUUUCAUUGUUCACCUAUACUUUUCCAUUCCAUAAACAUUAAACAAUGCAUCUAACCGGAGAAUUAGGCAUCAGCAAGAAAAGAGAAGAACUGAAGCCGUGCAUGCGUGGUCCCCGUUGUGAAGAAAUCGCAGAUAAAUGCUUAGCUGUACAUGGAGACAAGGUUGCUCUCUUUGUAUGCUUAUCAUGUUAUAGAGAUGCUUUGCGAGGUGUAACAAAGGAAGGGUGCCAUAGCCAUGCAUGCUGAAGAGUGUCCCAAAUGCUCAGUGUACCAACUCACUUUCUCCGACGUGUCCCUUCCUUCACCCUCCUCUCGCCCCCUAUAAAUCACCUCGCUUCUCAUUCUCCUUCAUCACAACCACAGCAAUAACAAUAAUAGCAGCCAUGGCUAAGCUUCUUGAGCUUUCUUUUUGCUUUUGCUUUCUAGUUCUGGGAGCUAGCAGCAUCUCCUUCAGGCAGCAGCCGGAGGAGAAUGCGUGCCAGUUCCAGCGCCUCAAUGCGCAGAGACCUGACAACCGCAUUGAAUCGGAGGGCGGUUACAUUGAGACUUGGAACCCCAACAACCAGGAGUUCGAAUGCGCCGGCGUCGCCCUCUCUCGCUUAGUCCUCCGCCGCAACGCCCUUCGUAGGCCUUUCUACUCCAAUGCUCCCCAGGAGAUCUUCAUCCAGCAAGGUUAUUAGUUAUUACUACUUUUUCAUAUUGUUAUUGUCAAUGAUUGAAUUUAAUUAUUUGACGGUAAAAAUAAUUUUGUACACUCACUAAACGUACUAACAUUUUACAACAAUUUACGAUUGAGACACAAAAAAAAAAGGCAUAUCUGUAUUUGAGAAUUUUAUUUUUUUUCCAUGAUCUUUGUUUGUUAAUUUCAUUUUGAAUGAACACAUACAGGAAGGGGAUACUUUGGGUUGAUAUUCCCUGGUUGUCCUAGCACAUAUGAAGAGCCUGCACAACAAGGACGCCGAUAUCAGUCCCAAAGACCACCAAGACGUUUGCAAGAAGAAGACCAAAGCCAACAGCAACAAGAUAGUCACCAGAAGGUGCACCGUUUCAAUGAGGGUGAUCUCAUUGCAGUUCCCACCGGUGUUGCUUUCUGGCUGUACAACGACCACGACACUGAUGUUGUUGCUGUUUCUCUUACUGACACCAACAACAACGACAACCAGCUUGAUCAGUUCCCCAGGGUAUAUAUAUGCUCAAAUCUCAUUCGUUAUUUUUGGCAUGUGCAUAUAUCAUGAAUAUUGAGUAUUAGUCUAUUAUUAUUUCUUAUGAAUUCUCAUCAAUAAACCAUGCCACAUUUAUAUAUAAAUGAUCCGUGACAAUUAAUAAUACAUAACAGAGAUUCAAUUUGGCUGGGAACCACGAGCAAGAGUUCUUAAGAUACCAGCAACAAAGCAGACAAAGCAGACGAAGAAGCUUACCAUUAAGCCCAUACAGCCCUCAGCCUGGACAAGAAGACCGUGAAUUUAGCCCUCAAGGACAGCACGGCCGCAGAGAACGAGCAGGACAAGAACAAGAAAACGAAGGUGGAAACAUCUUCAGCGGCUUCACGUCGGAGUUCCUGGCACAAGCCUUCCAGGUUGACGACAGACAGAUAGUGCAAAAUCUAAGAGGCGAGAACGAGAGUGAAGAACAGGGAGCCAUUGUGACAGUGAAGGGAGGCCUCAGAAUCUUGAGCCCAGAUAGAAAGAGUCCCGACGAAGAAGAGGAAUACGAUGAAGACGAAUAUGCUGAAGAGGAGAGGCAACAAGAUAGAAGGCGUGGCAGGGGAAGCAGAGGCAGCGGCAAUGGCAUUGAGGAGACCAUCUGCACCGCAACUGUUAAAAAGAACAUUGGUAGAAACAGAUCCCCUGACAUCUACAACCCUCAAGCUGGUUCACUCAAAACUGCCAACGAGCUCAACCUUCUAAUCCUUAGGUGGCUUGGACUUAGUGCUGAAUAUGGAAAUCUCUACAGGGUUUGUACUUUCUCUUUUUCUAUCUAUUUUUUUAGCAUACUACACUAUUAACAAAAUUUAUCAUUGUUAGUAAGAUUUGGCUAAUACCUUAAACAUUAAGUAUUAAAUUCUAAAUUUUAAAUACUAAAUACUAAUGGUAUAAGAAUAUAAUGUUACUUAACUAUCGAUUAAUAUCGAUAAAAAGUAUUGAUACUGAUAUUUUUCUUUUCUUGUAGUGUUACAUUAGGCAUUCGAUUUGGUUAUCUAUUUACCCAUUGAAAUGUGAUUGCAGAAUGCAUUGUUUGUCCCUCACUACAACACGAACGCACACAGCAUCAUAUAUGCAUUGAGGGGACGGGCUCAUGUGCAAGUGGUGGACAGCAACGGCAACAGAGUGUACGACGAGGAGCUUCAAGAGGGUCACGUUCUUGUGGUGCCACAGAACUUCGCCGUGGCUGGGAAGUCCCAGAGCGAGAACUUCGAAUACGUGGCAUUCAAGACAGACUCAAGGCCCAGCAUAGCCAACCUCGCCGGUGAAAACUCCUUCAUAGAUAACCUGCCGGAGGAGGUGGUUGCAAAUUCAUAUGGCCUCCCAAGGGAGCAGGCAAGGCAGCUUAAGAACAACAACCCCUUCAAGUUCUUCGUUCCACCUUUUCAGCAGUCUCCGAGGGCUGUGGCUUAAAAACGACCAGUAUCUUUUGCAAGCGUGUUAUCCACUACAUACUUUUUGCCACAAAUGAAUAAUAUAAUAAUAAGAAGAAUAAUGUAGUUUUAAUUUUUAGUAUGAAUAAGAAUACAAAGGGGCAUUGAUGCCUUUUUGUUUAAGAUCGGAAUGUAACAUAUGUGCAAUGAGCAGAUAUGGAGAAAACCUUUUGCGGGAAAAACAUGAAUAAUAAAAGAAGUUAUGGUCUCACGCACGCCACAUUUGUCUUUGUAUCCCCCUUUCUUUGUGAUAAAACAAACUUGAAAAGAAUAUCAACAACACAGCAUGCUCUAACAUUUUGAUGUAACUCCGAAAAUCCGAGUAAUUGUUGAGGGUGAGCUAUAAUGAGCUAGGAUUUCUAUUCAAGCACUAUAAGAUCGUGACAAUUCAAUUUUGACAUGCAUGGUAUAUAUAGCUUGCUUAUGAUCAUUGAUGACUUGCUCAUGUAAAUCCAAUUUUUACAAUUUAGAUGGCGAGUUCCUAAAGCCUCGUGAAGUAGUUUAAGUGUUUGACUAUCUCAUCAACAUAUAACUGAGCGUAUUGAUGAGUCGUAAAAACACUUUUUACUGGAAGAAAGUGUGACACUUGGUUAUUUGGUUCACUAUGAUCCAUAUUUUGAUGGUAUGAGCUAGUCUUGUCACAAAAUCUAUGGUGAUUCUUUUCCAUUUCCAUUUUAGUAUCUCGAUUUGCUGGAGUAAAUCCGCAGGCUUUUAAUGUUCAACUUUGAUUUGUUGGCACACUAAGUAUCGUGAUAUAAAGUCACCAAUGUCCCUUUUUAUGCCUUCUCACCAGAAUAACUGUCGCAAAUCCUAAUGUUUUAAUAGAACCAGGAUGUAUAAAAUAGCGAGAGUUAUGAGUUUCCACCAAGAUUGUUUUUCGAAGAUUUUCAAUGUUUGGUACAUACAAUCGUUUACCAAAACGAAGAAUUCCUUCUUGGUCCAAUGUGAAGGUAGAGUUAAUUCCGCUCUUAACAUCACCAAAAAGUUUAAGCAGUUUUAAAUCUUCUUUUUAGAGGGUUUUAAUUCUUUUGAUGAGGGAUGACUGAGCAUUCACAUGAGUAAGAAAAAUUCCAGAUCUUCUAAGUUUGAACAGUAUUCCUUUAACCUCGAGCUGAUGAAUUUCUCCAAUCAGUGGUCUUUAAGCAGCUACGAUGAUAUCAGCUUUUCAUAGGUGAUAAAGGAUUGUACAAUCAUAAUCUUUAAGCAGCUCUAUCCAUCUUCAUUGCCUCAGAUUUAAAUUUUUUUGUUGAAAUAUAUAGUUUAAAUUUUUGUAAUCCGUAUAGAUUUCGCAUGUCUCAUCAUAAACAUAUAGUGUAUUGGAUAGUUUUACUUGCGUUUUUUGAGUUGGCAUGAGACAUGAGCAAUAAUUCGACCAUGUUACGCUAACACACAUUCCAACUCAAAUCGAGAUGCAUCACAGAAGAUGGAGAAACCCGUCCCAGAAGGUGGAACAAGAACGGGUGCUAAAAUGAGGUAAGUAUUGAGCAUCUGGAAGCUAUCAUCACAAGCAUCUGUCCACUAAAAUUUGACAUUCUUUUGGGUUAACUUAGUUAAUGGUGAUGAGAUUUUUAAAAUUUUUUUAUGGAUUGUCAAUAAUAUCUUGCUCGACUAAGAAAACUACGAAUUUCAGUCACAGAAAUUGGUCUUGGCCAUUUUUUAAUGGCUUCAACUUUUUUCGAAUAUAUCAUAAUUUCAUCUUUCGACACCACAUGUCCUAAAAAUACCACUUGAUCUAACCAAAAUUCACACUUAGAGAAUUUGGCAUAAAAUUGGUGCUCUAGAAGGGUUUUCAAUACUCUCCUUAGAUGAUAUUCAUGCUCUUUCACACUUUUGAAGUAUACUAAGAUGUCAUAUAUAAACACAAUGACAAAGUGAUUUAAGAAGGGUUUGAACACUCGAUUCAUUAGGUUCAUAAAAUUAUAAAAAGGUUGCAGGAGUAUUCGUUAAUGCAAAUGACAUUACAAUAAACUCAUAAUGUCCAUAGCAAAUACAAAAAGCGGUUUUGGGAGAUAUCUUCCUGCUUGAUUUUCAAUUGAUGUUACUCCAAAUGUAAAUCGAUCAAAUCAUUGAUUCUAGACAAUGGAUACUUGUUGUGAAUGGUCACUCUAUUAAGUUGUCGAUAAUCUAUACAUAGGUGUAUUGAUCUAUCUUUCUUCUUUAUGAAGAGAACAAGGGCUCCCAAAGAAGAUACGUUAGGACAAAUGAACCCUUUAUUCAACAUAUCUAUAGCUUGGUCUUUUAAUUCUCGCAGCUCUCUUGGUUCCAUACAAUAAAGAGGAAUUGAUAUGCGAUGAGCUUCCGGGAUUAAGUUUAUGGAGAAUUGAAUUUUUCCAUCAGGUGGUAUGCCUGGUAAGUCAUCAGAAAAUACAUCUGAAAAUUUCUUCACCACAGAAAUAUGACCAAUGCUACGCAUCAUGGAUUCAAUGUUUCUAACUACCGCAAGAAACCAUGACACCCUUUGUUUAUCAGGUUCAUGACUUUUUUUUAGAGGAGAGAUGAGUUUGUUUGGGGUCAAGUAUCCAUCACCUUUAAAAGUAAAAGGUAGAAUAUCUAGAACAUUAAACUUCAUUAUUUUAGAAUAAUAAAUCACGUUAACAUGAUAAGCUGCUAGCCAAUCCAUACCUCAAAUGACAUCAAUGUCUUCCAUCGGAUCUAGAAGAAUUAGGUUAUAUUAGCCAAGGUGUCCACAGAGUUUAUAGUAACGAAACAAGAUUGAAACACAAAUUGAACCAUAGUGAAAACUGAGCGGAGUAUCGACUUGGAAGGGGUUGUCUAAUAACACAAGUUGCAUGUUGAAAUGGUUUGCUAGAGUUGGGAAAACAAAUGAAUAAUAAGAACUCGUAUCAAAUAGCACUUGAGCAUCCAAAGAGAAAACUUGUAAAAUAAAGUACCUAUUACAACUGCAUUUGAAGCCUGUGCAUCUUGGUGAAUUAAGGUAUAUACACGUGCUUGUCCUCUACCUCUCUAAUUUGUUCCUUUGCCCCCAGGAUUUCACCCUCCUAUCCCUCUACCUUGGCUAGCAAAGUUUCCAAGAAACGUAGUUGAGUAUGAAGGUGAAGGUGAUGGUGUCGUAGAAUAUGCAUGACCUUAAAUAAUUCCUCCCUGGAACUUGGACUAUCCUUCCUUAGGUGACCAGUUUGAUUGCAUCCAAAAUAUGCACCAAUGGCCUUGAAGCAUACUCCAGAAUGAGGAUGUCCACAUUGUUGGCAGUAUGGUUUGCCAUGCAUAGAUUAAUCACCAGAUUGAUAGGUCCCUCCAGUGAAACUCUUUGAGCCUGAGAGGCUUGUUAGAGGGGUACAGACGGCGCAGCUUCAAUAAUGGGUGCUUGUUGAUUGUCUUGAUGACCUUUAUAACUUGGUCCUCGUCUGAAAUUAAAACCACUAAAGAGCUGUCUUUUUGUCUUAAGCUUCUUAUCUGCUUGUUUAGGAGUGAUUCUUUCACUAUUUAUAACCUCAAUUGCAUAGGUAGAAUCUAGGAUUUUAUUGAAGUUCAUUUGCCAAAUCUCUGGCACUCGAGUAAUAUACAUGGGUUCUUCCAGGCCUCUCACGAACCUACGAACUCUAAUUUCUUCAGAAGGUAUUAAAUAAGAAGCGUUCUUGGAAAGCCUGAAAAUUCUUUAGCAUACUCUGUCACAGUCAUGCUUCGUUGCCUUAAUCUCUCUAUUGCAAUGGCAUCCUCUGCUUGCUUGCUAGCAGGGUGAAAUCUUUCAAUAAAUUUCUUAAUGAAUUCUUCCCAUAUAAGAGUAGGCAGCCCAGUUGCUUCCUUACUUUCAAUAAGGGUCUUGUACCAAUAUCUAGUUAUCACUUGAAGGUUAUAUGAUACUAGCUCAAUAGCGUAAUCUUUUUUGCAUCUAAGGGCUCACAGGAUUUUUCUCACAUCUUCAAGGUAUUGUUGAGGAUCCUCAUCCAGGAAAUCUCCUUUGAAAGUGGAUGAGUUAAUAUUUAGGUAUUGUUUGAAGGUAGGUUUCUUAUCUCUAAAAAUAAAAGGAAACAUUCAUGGAGAAAAAGUUAAGGUGGGUUUGUGUUUGCACACUGCCGUUAGCUCGGUUUGCCAAAAAUUCAACUACAACACACAGAUUAUCAUUAACUGUUCUAAGUUUUGCUACCAAGCUUGCAGGUGUUUCUCUAUUUACUAGAUUUUCUUGUAUUUCUUAUGGAACUAUAUCGGCUUGAGUUAUAUUUUCCAAGUGUUCGUCUUCUUGAAGUACUUUUCAUGUCCUUCUACUGGCUAUUCUUUGACUCGUCCUAGCAUUCGCUCUUGUAAGGGUGAGAGAUUAGUCCUAUUAGAUGUUGUAGUGUUAGGAGCAUGAAUGGCUCCACCAUGCAAUUUAGGUGGCAUCUUUUCACCUAGUAAGCAAAGAAUGUGGUCACAUAAUAUCCAAAGAAAGGACAAGAAUUUUAUCGAAGACACAGAUAUAAGUUUAACUUCCUACAGGCUUUUGGUAACAUCACACUUGUGAAAAUGGGUUAACAACCAUUUGCACAAUCGUAAACUUAUUAAAAGACAUUUGCUCCAUAUUACACAAGAAAAUCUAAACUCUAAUACCAACUUUGUCACAGCCGAAUUUAAGUAGUAACCGGCAAUAAAAAAAAGUUUUCUAAUAAGCCUAUUAAUUGCAUAAUUCUUAAAUGAAUAAUUUAAAUCUGCAUCUAUUAUAUAUCACAAAUACGAGUUUAUAUAUACAAAUAUAUAAUACUAUCAAACAUUAAAGAUAUUGCCUGUAAUAUAUGAAAUAUUAACUAAGAAAUUCAAGGUGUAGUAUAAAUGACAAGGCCCUUGGAAGACAAGGACUCACCAAAAAGCCGAUUUCUACCGAGGGAUAGAAGGAUUAGGACUCUAAUCUAUAUUUAUAUUUAAAAAACAUAUAAUAUUCAAGAAACAUAUAAAAAAAUUUAAAUAAAAUAUUUUGUAACAAAUUAAAAUAUUCUAUAUUAUGUAAUAAAUAUAAAAAUGAAUAAAAUUAUUUAUAUUUAAAUAACCAAAUAAUUAUUAUUGAUGAGUAUUUUAGUCAAAUUGAUUAAAUAAUAUGUUAUUUUACUCUUACAAAAGAGAAAUAUAUUCUGUUCCAAGGUAUUAUUUGAAACUAAGGUGGAUUUGGGUUUGAACGUGAGAUUUAAACGCCUUUGAGUGAGUUCUGACUUAUUUGCUAGGAUGGUGGUUCAAGGUUAUCAAACUCACGAAUCUAAGUAAACUCGUGGAAUUGACUUAGACUUGACUUGUAGACUCGUUCGAGUUUACUUGUUAUGAAUUCUUAUACAUACAUACAUACAUACAUACAUACAUACAUACAUACAUACAUACAUACAUACAUACAUACAUACAUACAUACAUANGGAAUGGUGGUCAAGAAUGGCUAAGAAUUGACUUGCCUAUGAUAAGAGGACAGGUGACGACACAGUAGGUGUAAGACCCGGUUAAUUAACGGCUAAUUAACCUAUAAAUGAGAAUUUAUUCUAGAAAGGAAAAAAUGUUAUUUUUUAUGGCUAAAUGUGAUAGAGGAGAUUGAGACGAGAAUUUCGGUACCAAUUUUAUAGAAAACGGACCAAGAUUGGACCAAACGGGCCAAACCGGACCAACCCUAGUUUUCAGCACUCUCUCUCCUCACAACACACUCAAACAUGCUGAAAUGGUGGAGAGGAAGGGAAGAAAACUCUCUCAACUUCUUUCUCUCACUUGAUCUUCAAACCACCAUAACUUUUGAUCUAGAGCUCCGAUUGUCGCACCGUUUGCGGCCACGCGUUCACCGCAGAGAGCUCUACAAAACCCAUACAAUCAAUCUUGAGGUAAGCUACGUUUUGCUUUUCGAAUUUCCAGCCUUGUUUUCGAGUUUCAUGAGCAAAAAUGUUGAGAUUUUGGGCUCUUUGAUGUUAUAGGACCCAACUCUCUUGAAGGAGAAGAUUAAUCUUGUCUCCUUGGACCUUGAGUAAGGUAAGAUAUCUCAAACCCUAGUGAGAAUGUUGAACUUGUGGUUGUGGGUGUUGAGCUCUUGUGUUUUGGUAUGAUGAUUGUGGCUUAGGUUGUGUAUAUGUGAAUAUUGGAGCUUGAUUGGUGAUUUUGGAAAGCUUGGGAGAGGGUUUUGUGUGACAAAAUCUAUUCUUGGAGGUGUUGAGACCUUGAGAGCUUGAGGAAAAGUGGUUUGGAAGUGCUCUGGUUGAGCUUGGGAAAUCGGCUAAGGUAUGGUUUCGGUUUCCCAUAUCUAUUAUGUAAUGUGGUAGGAAAUACUUAGGCUAGAGGCCCUAAGAUAGGCAUUGAAUUGUUGGUGUUGUUGAAUGGUUGAGAUAUAUGAUGUGUUCAUAUAUGUGAUUAUGAAUAUUGAUGCCUUGAUUGUGUGAUAUAUGAGAAAUGCAUGUUGUGAUAUAUGCUUGAUGGAUGAUUGAGGUUGAAUUGAUGGGUGGUACCAUGUUGAUGGUGAGUAUGAUGUUGAUCAUGUAUAAUGAUGGUUGAUUGGAAAUGGUAUUAUUGGAAAUUGAGAUGAGGAAGGAUGUAUGACAUGAUAUUGUGUUUGUCCUUUAGCCAUUGGAUUGAGAAGUGUUAAAAUGGUUGGAUGUGAUUUUGGGAAUUUUGGUAAAAUAUCAAUGUGUGAGUUGAGGAUGGCUUGAUGUUGAUUUUGGUACAUUUUGAUUGAUUUCAAAGAAAAGGGAUGAAAUUGGCAUGUUUUGAUUGAUUUCGAAAAGAGUUGAAAGUGGCUUGUUUUGAAAAUGGCACUUUAUGGUUUUGUAUGAAAACAUGAUUUUUGGGUAUACUUUGACGGGACAUAACCUGGACUGCGGAUCUCUGUUUUCUGCCAAAUCUAUUUAGAAAUGGAAUUGGAUCCGGGAUGUCCAUGCCGUUCGAAGAACGGGUAAAAAACGAUUUAAAAUGAGAAAGUUAUAUCCGUCAGAAGAUUGGGGGUUGAAUCUGUGAAUUCUGCAGCUUUUAACUUAGAAAAUUUUUAGCAGAAUAACCCCCCGUGCGUUGGCACACUUGGCGCGUACGCAUCGUUCUUCGAGAAAACACCAUCCACGCGUGCGCGUGGUGUGCAUGGGCGCGUCGAUGCGCUGCACCAAAUGCCCAGCCAUUUUCCCGAGAGUUGUGCCAAAGUUGUGCCAGUUUUAUGCCUGGGGCGCAAGAGCACCCACGUGUAUGCGUGGCUGACGCGUGCGCGUCGUUUGGCUAAUUUUCAAUCCGCGCGUUCGCGCGUAUGACACUUGCGCGUCAAUGAGUUUUAAGGCCAUCCACGCGGGCGGGUGGAGUGCGCGUACGCGUGGCCCUAUUUUCAUCCCAAAGUUGAUUUUUGAGUUUUAAAAGCCAAAUUUCAUACUUCUAAGCCUCCAAUCUCACCACUUAUGUCUUAAAUCAUUAUGAUAUGCCUAGCUAUGAGAUAAGGGGCUAGUGAAUGUGGUAACUUGCAAGUGAAGCAAGGGAAAAAUGAAUGAUCAAUGAAGAUCAAAGAUGAUUAUGUAAGAUGUGGAGGAUGGCGGUGGAAGUGCUUGUUAUGCCAUGGGCCGAAGGGCCGUAAUUGUAAAUAAAUUGGCUGGUUAUGGAUUUAACCGUGAGCCGGAUGGCUAGAUUAUCGUCGUGUUACGGCAGAGCCAUGUUUAUGGCUAAGUAUAAAUGCAUAUAUGCUGUUGAAUGAAUUGUGAAUGUUUGCACUUCCACUAUCAGAGAUGAGGGUUUCCCUGGGAGGAAGCAGUGGCUAGCCCCCACGUGCCCCAGGUUGAGACUCGAAGCUUUGUUGACCCUAUGUCGUAAGUGUGGCCGGGCAUUGUGAAAGUCCCGGAUGAGCUCGCCCCCGUAAAUAUUCACCGGUGAGGGUGAUGGAUAUGGAUCAUGAUUAUGAUCAAGUUUAUGAUGAGUAUAACUCGAGUUGGGGAUGCGCGACAGAGGGACAGUCCAAGGUUAGCUACCAGGACUUGUCGGGUUGGCUCUAUAACCGACAGAUGAUAUCAUCAGCCACUAGGGACAGGCAUUCAUCAUAUGCAUACUAUGUGAAUUGUUUGAGAUUGCCUAUUUGACUGCAUAUUACUUGCUAUUUGUCUAAAUGCCUUAAUUGUUCUUACUUGUAUAUCUCUUGUCUGAUAUAACUGUGUUUGCUAUAUUAUACUCCUGCUGGUGGUUGGGAGGUCUAAAGGAAUUGGAAAGGGAAGUAUUAGUUAGACUGAAGAAUCUUUAGUUAGUUGCCACUUACGGUUUAGCUUGUUUAUAAGCUUUGAUAUUAUCUGGAGGAAGUUCUAGGAUUGCCUUCAGCUUUCCUCUAUUAUUAUGUAUUAUAUAUGUGGAAGCUGUUACCAUGCUAGGGACCUCUGGUUCUCACCCAUGUGGAUUUUGUGAUUUUCAGAUGCAGGACGCGAGGCUUCUCGUUGAGGCAUGCCGGAGACUUCUGGAUUAGCGAAGAUCCUUUGUUUUCGGGACUCUGUUUUGGGUUAUAUAUUUUGUUUAGAUACUUUUAUCUCCAUUAAAUAAUACAAACUGUGAUGACUCCUCUUAUAGGAGGUUUUGGAGAAUAGGUUUCUGUAUUUGUGUCCCUUUGGGUUUUCUUUGGGGUUUUCCUUAUUUUAUUAUAUGUAUAUAUUGUUAUGCUCGGACCGGUUAUCUUCGCAGCCGGAUUUUGAGUCUUGAUAUUCCUGUUUUUGACACUCCCUUGUAUAUAUAAUAUCUCGUGUUAGCUUAUCCUUUGCUCGUUACGUUAUCGAUCGGAGUGUUGCGCGUUCGAGUUACGAUUUUUGUUUACCCCUUUUUCUACAAAGGCUCCUAGUUAUAAUUAAUUAUUCAUACUACUAUACGUACUAAAUUUUUGUUUUAGAGGUCGUAAUACCUUGCCAUAUCUGAAUUAUGACUUAAGCAUAAGUCUCUGUAUGGUAGGGUGUUACAUUAUGGUAUCAGAGCAGUUCGUUCCUGUAGAGCCUGAGGAAUGGACUGACUAUACUUCUGUGCAUUCUCUGUGUGUGUGUUAUGUGCUACUAGUAUAUCUGCUUGAUAUAAUUGGCAUAAACGUUCAUGAGCAUGCAUUUGGGACUUUGAAGCACUAGACUUCCGAUAUUGAGACUGAUCAACUUAAUAUCGAUUGUUUGGUGUGUAUAGGGACCAGAUGACGCCUCGUGUACGCGGUAGAGGUCGUGGGAGAGGUCGUACUAAUGCUCGUGCGCCGGAGACUAACCCUAAUGAUCCGGUGAACUUUAUGACUGCGUUGGAGAACAUGGCUGCUGCUAUGCAAGCCACUGCUGAGGCUCUGGGCCAACAGAUGAACAACCAUGGUAAUGACGGAGGUGGAGUUCAGGGCCCGAUGACACUGGAAAACUUUUUGAAGGUUAAUCCCCCGAAGUUCAAGGGAACUACUAGCCCGACUGAGGCCGAUACAUGGUUUCAGGCCAUGGAAUGAGCACUGCAAGCGCAGGUGGUACCUGAAGGGCAGCGUGUAGAGUUCGCUACCUAUUUGCUCACUGGGGAAGCGUCGCAUUAGUGGCAAGGAAUCCGACGCCUCCUGCAGCAGGGUGAUGAUUAUAUCACCUGGGACGUCUUCCAAGAGGAGUUCUAUAAGAAGUACUUUCCGACUUCUGCUAGGACGGCCAAUGAGCUUGAAUUGUUGCAGCUGAAGUAGGGUACUAUGUCCGUAUCUGAGUAUAUGGUGCGGUAUUUUACAACCACACUUACUAACCAGCAAGUGCACCGGGUCGUACCAAGUAAUACCUUACGUGAGUAAGGGUCGAUCCCACGAGGAUUGAUGGACUAAGCAACAAUAGUGUUUGAUAGGCUUAGUUAGACAAACAAAAAUUGGUGUUGAGAUGCAGUAUAAAAGAGAUUAAACAAUAUAAAAAAUAUUGAAGAAAGGCAAGUAAUUAAGUUGAGAGUAAUAUAUGGAGAAGGCAGUUAAGGCUUCAGAGUUAUCUAUUUUCUGGAUUGACUUUUCUUAUUAACUAUUUUAAUUACGCAAGAUUUAAUUCAUGGCAAACUAUUUAUGACUAGACCCUAAUUCCUUAGACCUUCCUAGUCUCCUCUAAAAUUUAUCAACUGCCAAUUCCUUGGUCAAUUAGCUUCUAAUCUAUGAUUUCUGGGCUAAGAACUGGGUCAAAACGGCCCAGAAAUUGCCCCCAGUGUUUUUCUACAUUUUCUGCACGUGGCGCAUGUGACGCGUUCGCGUCGUCCACGCGUUCGCGUCAUUUGUGCAGAUUCCAGUCCACGCGUUUGCGUCAGGCACGCGAUCGCGUCAUUGCGAUUUCCUCCAUUCCGCGCGGUCGCGUGAGCCAUGCGUCCGCGUCGGUAUUCGUUGGUCAUCUCCUUGGCUUCUUCUCUUUCUCUGCAGAAACUCCAUCAAAUUCUGCCAAAUGCUCCCUAAAAUAAACAGUAUUGUACAAAAUUCAAAAUAGCAUCCAUAGUGGCUAAAAUAUAAUUAAUUCUUAAUUAAACUCAACAAAUUAACUGCAAAUUCACUAGGAAAAGAUAGACAAGAUGCUCACGCAUCACAACACCAAACUUAAACUGUUGCUUGUCCUCAAGCAACCAAAACUAAUAUAAGCUUAGGAUGUGAAUUUGCAUGAGAAUGAGAGUUCGAUUAAGCCCAUGUCUUCUCUUAUAGUGGGGUUUACAACUGCAAUCCUGAACAAUUUUGGCAUCUCACUUUAUCCUUUGAAGUUUAGGAUGAUUGGCAUCCAUAGGAACUCAGAAUUCAGAUAGUGUUAUUGAUUUUCCUAGUUCAGUAUGUUGAUUCUUGAACACAGCUACUUUAUGAGUCUUGGCUGUGACCCUAAGCAUUUUGUUUUCCAGUAUUACCACCGGAUACAUAAAUGCCACAGACACAUAACUGGGUGAACCUUUUCAGAUUGUGACUUAGCUUUGCUAGAGUCCCCAGUUAGAGGUGCCCAGAGUUCUUAAGCACACUCUUUUUGCUUUGGAUCACGACUUUAACCGCUCAGUCUCAAGCUUUUCACUUGACACCUUCACGCCACAAGCACAUGGUUAGGGAUAGCUUGAUUUAGCCGCUUAGGCCAGGAUUUUAUUCCUUAGGGCCCUCCUAUCCAUUAAUGCUCAAAGUCUUGGAUCCUUUUUACCCCUUGCCUUUUAGUUUAAAGGGUUAUUGGCUUUUUCUGCUUGCUUUUUUUUUUUCUCUCUUUUUUUCCGCAAGCUUUGUGUUUUUCACUGCUUUUUCUUGCUUCAAGAAUCAAUCUUAUGAUUUUUCAGAUUAUCAAUAACAUUUUUCUUUUUUAUCAUUCUUUCAAGAGCCAACAAUUUUAACAUUCAUAAACUUCACUAUCAAAAAAUAUGCACUGUUUAUGUCAUGCAUUCAGAAUCACAAAAAAUACCACCACAUUUAAGUAAAUCAGACUAUUUUUUAAAAUUAACUCAAUUUCUCAUGCACUACACUUCUUUUUCUUUUCUUUUUAGGUUCAAGUUCAGUGAGUGGUAUAUGAAACAUCUUUUCAGCAUUAAAGCAAUUAAAUGAAAACUAAACUAGUCCUAGGAUUCUAACUAAUAAAGGAUCAUGCAACAAACAAAGAAAAAUAACAGGAAACUGGAACAUAAUAUAGAAAAAGAGGGGAGGAAUAAAAAAUGAAAGGAACUCAACCACCUUAAUUAUCCUAGCGGUCGCUUUAUUCUUCAGGUUGUGCUCCUUCGCGAAGAUGAUUCGCCUCCCUUUUGUACUAGAAAACCUGUAAGCGCGGCGUCAACACCAAACUUAAGGGUUUGCUUGUCCUCAAGCAAAGAAGAACUGAAAAUAGAAAAGAUAAAUAUUAAAAUGAAAAAAAAAAGAAAAAAAAUAAAUAAAUAAAAGGAUAAGAGAAUAAGAGAGAAGUAGGAUUGGGAGAGAGAGAGAAAGAAAACUGGGCGGCACAAGCGACGCGACCGCGUAGGGCAUGCGGUCGCGCGCAUUGCUCUUAUACGGAUUGACGCGAUCGCGUCGGUCACGCGGUCGCGUGACCCAGUUUGUGCUUCUGGCGCGAGUGCAGCCUCGCGCCAGCACAACUCUCUGUUUGAAUUGAUAUAAUUGCCAAAAUUGGGGUGACGCGAUCGCAUGGGGCAUGCGAUCGCGCGAGUGGGCAUUUAAUGGGGUACGACGCGGCCGCGUGGGGCAUGCGGUCGCGUGAAGGGAAUUGCGUGUCCAGCGCCAGUCCAGCACCACUCUAGCACAACUUUCAGCUGUGCACCCGUUUUACGUCAAAAAUCAGGGCACGCGGCCGCGUGGGUCACGCGGUCGCGUGGGAGGCCAUUACGCCCAUACGACGCGGAUGCGUCGGCGACGCGGUCGCGUGGGAUGAAUUGUGCCAUUGGCACGCCUCCAGCCACGCUCCAACGUGACUCUCUGUUCGUUUUUAUUUUUCUCUUCUCCCCUUGCGACGCGGACGCGUCGCUGAUGCGGUCGCAUCGCGUAGCUUUUUUUUUUUUUUUGAAAUAUAGCUUGAGGUGUUCGGUUCCUGGAAGAACAUAGCUGCAUGAUCAGAAAAUUAGUGAGAACUUAAUAAAAAAUAAAAUAAAAUAACUAAGAAAAAUACUACUACGAAAAAAUAAUAGCUAAGGAUACGAAAUUAUCGGGUUGCCUCCCGACAAGCGCUUCUUUAUCGUCAUUAGCUUGAUGGUCAGCUCCUCUAAGGAGGAGGAUCAUAGGGGCUCAGCUCUUUGAACUUUUUUCCUGUGUCUCCAUAACGUAGCUCAAUAUGCUCCAGAGAGAGGAUUCUGAUUACUGUAUAAACCCAUGCUGGAUUGCUGGUCAACACCACCUUCAUUCCUGGGGAGAAACCUUCAGUGGGGAUCUUUUUGUUUCUCCAUCCUCUGGGUAUUUUUUUCUUUUUGGGGACCUCCUCCUUGGUGGAUGAUGCAGUUCCAACACCAAACUUUGGUUUGAUGUCAGGCGGAAUUUUAUCGGUUGUCACCACAGGAGGUUUGAGUUGCAAAUUCUGCUGUGCAUCAUCAGGGAGUUCUUGAAGGUUUGGAUCAAUGAGUUCAGCCUGCAUGCACCUCUCUUCUUCACCUGUUGAAUGUACAUCUUUGAAGACAUGAAAGACCAGUUGCUCAUUAUGCACUCUAAGCACUAAUUCACCCACUUCUACAUCAAUCAGAGCUCUUCCAGUGGCUAGGAAUGGUCUUCCUAGAAUUAUAGAGGCAUUCUCAUCCUCCCCUGUAUCAAGAAUCAUAAAAUCUGCUGGGAGAAAGAACUUACCCACUUUGACCAAGAUAUUCUCCACUAAUCCGUAUGCAGGCUUCAUAGAUUUGUCUGCCAUCUGUAAUGCUAUCUUUGUGGGUUGUGCCUCUUGGAUAUGUAGCUUCUUCAUCACAGAUAAGGGCAUUAGAUUUAUGCUUGCCCCUAGAUCACAUAGGGCUUUCUCAAAGGUUGUGCUCCCAAUGGUGCAUGGAAUUUGAAAGCUCCCUGGAUCUGGCAUCUUCCUUGGUAAGUUAUUCUGAAUGACAGCACUACAUUCCUUAGUCAGGACUACUGUCUCAUCUCCCUUUAAACGCUUUUUCUUUGACAACAGCUCCUUCAUGAACUUGACAUAGAUAGGCAUUUGCUCCAAAACCUCAGCAAAAGGAAUAUUGAUUUGUAACUUUCUGAAGAUUUCCAAGAACUUUGAAAACUGCUUGUCCUUGGUCUCCUUUUGAAGUCUCUGAGGAUAUGGCAUCUUAGGCUUGUACUCAGGAGCCUUUGGCUGUGUAGGAUAAGUGUCAAGAGAGUCUGGGAAUGGGUUGUCUGCACGCUUUGGAGGGGCGUGCUCUACUUCUUCCUUCUUCUCAUCUGGAGCUUCUUUUUCAACUACAUCUUUAUUGACCUUGGUCUCAGAGCCAGCUACCUUACCACUUCUCAAUUGAAUAGCCUUGCAAUCUUCUCCUGGGUUCACCACUGUAUCCUCUUGAAAUGUACUUGCAGACCUCUCAAGUAUUUGCUUGCUCAGUUGGCCCACUAGCACCUCUAAGUUUCUAAUAGAGGAUUUGGUUUCUUGUAUAACUUGUGCUUCCGUACUUGCCACUUGUUCACUUAUUACAGUGAUAGCCUUGCAUUCCUCUCUUGGAUUUGGAAUUGUGUUACCAGGAAGGCUGUUAGUGGUCCUCUGAUCAAUUUCAUUAACCUUUGUGGCUAAUUGACCCAUUUGAAUUUCCAGGUUCUUGAUGGAUGCUCUGGUUUCCUGUCUAAAACCUGUCAAUAUUGCUUCUAAAUCAUUGUUCUGCUGGAAACCGCCCUGAGAACUAUUGUUGAAGUUCUGAGGUCUCUGAGGUUGGUCCCUCCACCCAAAGUUUGGGUGAUUUCUCCAUCCCGGGUUGUAUGUCUUAGAAUAUGGAUUAUUGUUGGGAUUCCUAGGACCACUCCCCAUGUAAUUCACCUGUUCAUAAUAAGGUUGAGCAUAAUCAUGAUUAUAAUUUUGAAUAAAAUUACCUGCCAUGUCAUAGGAGAUUUCUUGGGGUGGAUUUUGAGUGUUGAUAGCUGAGACUUGCAUGCCACCCAUCUGUUGAGUAAGUAGAUUUAUCUGUUGAGACAUAAGCUUGUUCUGAGCAAGAAGGGCAUUAAUAGCUUCCACUUCCAAUACGCCUCUCUUCUGAGCGGUCUCAGAGUUCACAGGAUUCCUGUUAGAUGAGUAGAGAUAUUGGUUGCUUGCAACUAAUUCAAUCAGCUCAAUAGUCUCCUCUGGUGUCUUCUUCUUGUGCAAUGAACCGCCUGCAGAGGUAUCUAAGCUCAUCUUUGACAUCUCUCCUAAGCCUUCAUAAAAGAUAUCCAGUUGGGUCCACUUGGAGAACAUGCCAGGAGGGCAUUGCCUAGUCAGUAGCUUGUAUCUCUCCCAAGCUUCAUAAAGAGUUUCACCCUCCUUCUGUCUGAAAGUCUGAACCUCCAACCUAAGCUUAGUCAGCUUCUUUGGUGGGAAAAAUUUAGUGAGAAAUUCAGUAACGACCUUUUCCCAAGUAUUCAGACUCUCCUUUGGUUGGGAGUCUAGCCAUAGCUUUGCUUUAUCCCUCAGAGCAAACAGGAAAAGCAUGAGUCUGUACACCUCUGGAUUCACUCCAUUUGUCUUCACAGUAUCACAUAUCUGCAGAAAAUCAGAAAUAAAUUGAUUUGGAUCUUCAUGAGGAAGUCCAUGAUACUGGCAGUUUUGUUGCACCAGGGUGACCAAUUGUGGCUUCAACUCAAAGUUGUUUGCAGUUAUAGGAGGCACCACAAUGCUUUUUUCAUAGAGAUCCGCAGUAGGGGCAGAAUAAGAGCCAAGCACUCUCUUCUGUUGAUCAUCCCCAUUCGGAUUUACCACAUUGGCAUUAGCAUUAUUAUUUGCCAUGGUGGAUUCUGCAGUCUUGCAAAGUCUUGCUUGUUGUAAACGUCGCCUGAAAGUUCUUUCAGGUUCAGGGUCAAAGUCUAAGAGAUGUUCUUUGUCUCUGUUCCUGCGCAUACACAAGCAGAAAACAAGAAAAAAUGGGACUCUCUACGUCAGAGUGCAGAGAAGUCCCUGUGAUGUAACCUGUGUACAAUAAUAAAAUAAAACUACUAAAUAAAUAAAUAAAUAAAUUCAAAAAUUAAAAAAAAAUAAACAGAAAAAUAAAAUUAACUGGGUAACACCAAACUUAAAUUCAGAAAUAAUUUUUUUUAGACAAAAAUAAAGUAAAACUAAAAAAUUAUAGAAAAUAAAAAAUAUAAUAAAAGAAAAACAAAAUAACACGAAAGUAAAUAAAUAAAAAAAUGGAAUUAAAAAGAAAAAUAAAUAAAGGAAAGAACGACGAGAUUUGAAUAAGAAAAAAAAACGAAAUUAAAAGGAAGUAAGAAAAGAAAAAAAAAAAGAAAACAGGGGAUACGGGAUAUGGGAAAUAUUAACGCAAAGAAAGAAAAAAAUGAAAAAUAAAAUAAAAAAAAAUAAAAAAUAAAAAUACUAAAGGAAUAUAAUUAAAGAAAAAAAAUAUCUAAUCUAAGCAAUCAAAGAACGAGUAGUUGUCAAUCACAGUCAAUUUCCCGGCAACGGCGCCAAAAAUUUGGUGCGGUAUUUUACAACCACACUUACUAACCGGCAAGUGCACUGGGUCGUACCAAGUAAUACCUUACGUGAGUAAGGGUCGAUCCCACGAGGAUUGAUGGACUAAGCAACAAUAGUGUUUGAUAGGCUUAGUUAGACAAACAAAAAUUGGUGUUGAGAUGCAGUAUAAAAGAGAUUAAACAAUAUAAAAAAUAUUGAAGAAAGGCAAGUAAUUAAGUUGGGAGUAAUAUAUGGAGAAGGCAGUUAAGGCUUCAGAGUUAUCUAUUUUCUGGAUUGACUUUUCUUAUUAACUAUUUUAAUUACGCAAGAUUUAAUUCAUAGCAAACUAUUUAUGACUAGACCCUAAUUCCUUAGACCUUUCCUAGUCUUCUCUAAAAUUUAUCAACUGCCAAUUCCUUGGUCAAUUAAUUCCAAUUAGAGGGUGAUGAUCGAAUCCUAGUUUAUAUGCCACAAGAAUCCUAAUUAUUCAAAGAUAAAGGGAUUAUAUGUCACGUAUCCCGUUAAAUACAAACAAUUAGAAAUUCAGGAUAAUAUGUUUUCAAGCUAUUGUUCAAGUAAAGAGCUUUUCCAAGUUUUACAAGAACUCAAAUAGAACAUGGGUCAUACUUCCGUUCCACCCAAAUUCAUAAAGUAAAGAACAAAAACAAUUAUUGAAAUAUAAAUCAAAACAUGAAUUAAAAUAGAAAAAUAAUAUUAUCAAUCCAUACAAUAGACAGAGCUCCUAACCUUAACAGUGGAGGUUUAGUUGCUCAUGGAAAAGAGAAAAUAAGGAUUCAGGUAAGAAUGUACCGCCUUCCAAUCUGAUGGCAUCAGAUCUCUUUUUAUAACUAAUCCUAAUAAAUUUAAAAUCUAAUAUUUAAAAUUAAACUUAAAAUAAUAUCUUUUCCUACUUUAAGAUUUGAAUUUAAAUUUGAAUUAAUUAAUAGAUCUUCAGUUGAUGGGUGGGGACCACUUGAUUUGUCCAUUCUGCAGCUUCUAAUCUGUGAUUUCUGGGCUAAGAACUGGGUCAAAACGGCCCAGAAAUCGCCCCCAGCGUUUUUCUACAUUUUCUGCACGUGGCGCAUGUGACGCAUCCGCGUCGUCCACGCGUUCGCGUCAUUUGUGCAGAUUCCAGUCCACGCGUUUGCGUCAGGCACGCGAUCGCGUCAUUGCGAUUUCCUCCAUUCCGCGCGGUCGCGUGAGCCAUGCGUCCGCGUCGGUAUUCGCUGGUCAUCUCCUUGGCUUCUUCUCUUUCUCUGCAGAAACUCCAUCAAAUUCCGCCAAAUGCUCCCUAAAAUAAACAGUAUUGUACAAAACUCAAAAUAGCAUCCAUAGUGGCUAAAAUAUAAUUAAUUCUUAAUUAAACUCAACAAAUUAGAUGCAAAUUCACUAGGAAAAGAUAGACAAGAUGCUCACGCAUCAGUAUGCUGACAAGUUUGAGGAGCUGUUCAGAUUCUCUCGUAUGUGUCAAGGGACUCCGGUGGAAUAUGAGGAAUGGAAGUGUGUUAAGUACGAAGGAGGACUCCGGAGCGAUAUUUUCAGUUCAGUGGGACCAAUGGAGAUUAGGACUUUCUCCGAAUUGGUGAACAAGUGUAGGGUUGCUGAAGAGUGUGUGAAGAGGGCAGCCGCUGAGAAAGGAAGUCACAAAGGAUCAUUCCCACAGAACCGAAGGAAGAGCUUUGCACCUAGAGGUCCACCUUUUAAGAGGGGAGGUUCUUUUAGGAGGCCCAACAACAACAACAACUCCCAAGGGAAAAAGUUUGGGAAGCAGCCUCAGAAUGAUCAAGCUUGUACUAGGUGUGGAAGUCACCAUCCGGGAGCACCAUGCAAGGCCAGAUGGGAUUUGUGCUACAAUUGUGGAAAGGCGGGGCAUAAAGCCACUAGUUGUCCGGAGAAACAAAAGCAAGGUGCUGGGAAAGCACAACAGACUGGUCGAGUGUUCACCACCUCAGCUGUGGGUGCAGAGGGAUCCGAGACACUCAUUCGAGGUAACUGUGAAAUGGCUGGUCAAACUUUAAAUGCUUUAUUUGAUUCGGAAGCAUCGCAUUCAUUCAUUGCAUUUGAGAAAGCCCAUGAGUUAGGAUUGAAGAUCGUAACCUUAGGUUAUAACUUAAAAGUGUAUAAUGCUACCCAUGAAGCCAUGGUAACUAGGCUAGGAUGCCCGAAAGUUUCGUUUAGAUUCAAGCAGCAUCAUUUUGUCCAUAAUUUAAUCUGCUUACCGAUGAUCGGUCUUGACCUUAUCUUGGGAUUGGACUGGUUAUCUGAGAACCAUGUCCUGCUUGAUUGCUCUACAAAGUCGGUGUACUUUAUGCCGGAAGAUACAGAAGGGCCAGUCGUGGUGAAUAAUUAUUACUUGAAUUCGAUGAUGGUGAACUGUUCUGGAAUCGAAUGUCAGGGUAUCCUGUUGUUAACCGCUGGUGUUUUGGGUGAUGAUCAACGGUUGGAUCAGAUUCCGGUAGUGUGUGAGUUUCCGGAAGUGUUUCCCAAUGAUAUUGAGGAAUUUCCACCUAACCGAGAGGUCGAGUUUGCUAUUGAGUUGGUGCCUGGGUCGGGACCAAUCUCAAGUGCUCCUUAUAGGAUGUCACCGUUAGAGAUGGCCGAGCUAAAGUCUCAGUUAGAGGAAUUGCUGGGUAAGAACUUUAUCCGACCAAGUGUUUCCCCGUGGGGUGCUCCAGUGUUACUAGUAAAGAAGAAAGAUGGAAGUAUGCGGCUCUGUGUGGAUUACAGGCAGCUGAACAAGGUCACCAUAAAGAAUAAGUACCCAUUGCCGAGGAUUGAUGAUCUCAUGGAUCAGUUACAAGGAGCUGGGGUUUUCUCUAAGAUCGAUUUGCGAUCCGGUUAUCACCAGAUAAGGGUGAGGGGUGAGGAUAUCCUUAAGACCGCUUUCAGGACUCGUUAUGGUCAUUACGAGUAUACUGUAAUGUCUUUUGGGUUGACGAACGCUCCUGCAGUGUUUAUGGAUUACAUGAAUAGAGUGUUCCGUCCGUUUCUGGAUAAAUUCGUUGUUGUCUUUAUUAACGACAUACUGAUUUACUCCAAGACUGAAGAAGAGCAUGCAGAACACUUGCGGACCGUGUUGCAAAUUCUAAAGGAGAAGAAACUCUAUGCGAAAUUGUCUAAGUGUGAGUUUUGGAAGGAUGAGGUGAAGUUUUUGGGUCACGUGGUGAGUAAGAAGGGAAUAGCCGUAGAUCCAACUAAGGUAGAAGCUGUGAUGGAUUGGAGGCAACCAACUACAGUAACUGAGAUAAGGAGUUUUAUGGGUUUAGCUGGCUAUUACCGAAGGUUCAUCAAAGGAUUUUCGCAAUUAGCCUUGUCGUUGACAAAGUUAACUCGCAAAGACACUCCGUUUGUUUGGACUCCUGAGUGCGAGGAGAGCUUUCAGGCAUUGAAGAAAAAGUUAACCACUGCACCUGUGUUAGUGUUACCUGAGCCGAACGAGCCUUUUGAGGGGUACUGUGAUGCCUCAUUAAAGGGUCUAGGAUGCGUGCUAAUGCAGCAUCAUAAUGUGGUGGCGUAUGCCUCACGACAGUUGAGACCUCACGAAGUUAGUUACCCUACGCACGAUUUGGAACUCGCUGCGGUUGUGUUUGCCUUGAAGGUGUGGAGACAUUAUCUCUAUGGGGUUAAGUUCCAAGUCUUCUCUGAUCACAAGAGCUUGAAAUAUCUCUUUGAUCAGAAAGAGCUUAAUAUGAGGCAAAGGAGGUGGAUGGAAUUAUUGAAAGACUACGACUUUGAGUUGAAUUACCAUCCGGGGAAGGCAAAUGUAGUGGCAGAUGCGUUAAGUCGGAAGUCGUUAUAUGCGGCUUGGAUGAUGCUUCAAGAGGAGAAGUUGCUCAAGGGAUUCGAGAGUCUAAAAAUUGGUGUUCGAGAAGUAUCUGGAACCUUGUGGUUGAGCCGAUUAGAAAUCUCGAGUGACUUUAAGUCCGAACUCCUAAAGGCUCAUGAAAAUGAUGAAGCAUUAUGGAAGGUGUUACCGGCUAUCGAGCAAGGAAAACAGAGGAGAGUGUCGGAAGAAAAAGAUGGGUUAUGGAAAUUCAAGGGUAGGAUCAUUGUGCCGGAUGUUGGUACUUUGAGGCAAGAUAUCUUAAAGGAGGCACACAAAAGCGGAUUCUCCAUUCACCCGGGAAGGGAUUGCCAAGGACUAUGACUGGUUUUGAUGCUAUCUGGGUGAUUGUGGACCGUCUGACGAAGUCAGCUCACUUUUUGCCCGUUCGGAUGACUUACACCCUUGAGGAGCUAGCACGGUUAUACAUAAAGGAGAUUGUGAGGUUUCAUGGUGUACCUGCUACUAUAAUCUCUGAUAGAGAUCCUCGUUUCACUUCGAGGUUCUGGGGUGCAUUUCAGAAAGCUUUUGGAACCCGAUUAAGCUUGAGUACAGCGUACCAUCCUCAAACAGAUGGUCAAUCCGAGAGGACGAUCCAAACCCUAGAGGAUAUGUUGAGAGCUUGUGUUUUGGACCAACCGGUGAGUUGGGAUCGGUAUAUGCCGUUAGUGGAGUUUGCAUACAAUAAUAGUUACCAUGCAAGCAUCGGAAUGGCUCCGUAUGAGGCAUUGUAUGGGAGGAAAUGUCAAUCUCCGCUAUGUUGGUAUGAAGCUGGAGAAAAAGGCUGGUUGGGGCCGGAAAUGAUAGCUGAGACCACAGAACAAGUCAAGAAAAUCCGAGAUAGAAUAAUUACGGUGCAGAGUCGCCAGAAGAGUUACGCCGAUCAGAGGCGGAAGCCCUUGGAAUUUGAGGCAGGAGAUCAUGCUUUCCUGAAGGUUACUCCGACCACAGGAGUAGGUAGAGCGAUUAAAGCAAAGAAGUUGAAUCAUUGAUACAUUGGUCUAUUUCAGAUCCUGGAGAGGAUUGGGCCGGUGGCGUAUCGGGUGGCUCUACCACCUCAUCUUUCGAACCUGCACGAUGUGUUUUACGUGUCACAGCUUCGGAAGUACACUCCUGAUGCUAGCCAUGUGUUAGAACCUGAAUCAGUUCAGUUAAGAGAAGAUUUGACGCUUCCAAUGGCUCCAGUUAGAAUUGACGAUACUAGUAUCAAACGGUUGCGUGGAAAAGAGGUUUCAUUAGUCAAAGUGGCUUGGAGUCGAGGCGGUGUUGAGGAACACACUUGGGAACUUGAGUCGGAGAUGCGAACGGAUUAUCCGCAUUUAUUCUCAGGUAAUUGAAUUUGAAUUUUGUGGGCAAAAUUCUCAAUUAGGCGGGUAGAAUGUAAGACCCGGUUAAUUAACGGCUAAUUAACCCAUAAAUGAGAAUUUAUUCUAGAAAGCCAAAAAUGUUAUUUUUUAUGGCUAAAUGUGAUAGAGGAGAUUGAGACGAGAAUUUCGGUACCAAUUUUAUAGAAAACGGACCAAGAUUGGACCAAACGGGCCAAACCAGGCCAACCGGACCCAAAGUGGGCCCUUGGCCCAACUAAACUAAACCAAAACUCUAGUUUUCAGCACUCUCUCUCCUCACAACACACUCAAACACGCUGAAAUGGUGGAGAGGAAGGGAAGAACACUCUCUCAACUUCUUUCUCUCACUUGAUCUUCAAACCACCAGAACUUUUGAUCUAGAGCUCCGAUUGCCGCACCGUUUGUGGGCACGCGUUCACCGCAGAGAGCUCUACAAAACCCAUACAAUCAAUCUUGAGAUAAGCUACGUUUUGCUCUUCGAAUUUCCAGCCUUGAUUUCGAGUUUCAUGAGUAAAAAUAUUGAGAUUUUGGGCUCUUUGAUAUUAUAGGACCCAACUCUCUUGAAGGAGAAGAUUAAUCUUGUCUCCUUGGACCUUGAGUAAGGUAAGAUAUCUCAAACCCUAGUGAGAAUGUUGAACUUGUGGUUGUGGGUGUUGAGCUCUUGUGUUUUGGUAUGAUGAUUGUGGCUUAGGUUGUGUAUAUGUGAAUAUUGGAGCUUGAUUGGUGAUUUUGGAAAGCUUGGGAGAGGGUUUUGUGUGACAAAAUAUGUUCUUGGAGGUGUUGAGACCUUGAGAGCUUGAGGAAAAGUGGUUUGGAAGUGCUCCGGUUGAGCUUGGGAAAUCGGCUAAGGUAUGGUUUCGGUUUUCUGUAUCUAUUAUGUAAUGUGGUAGGAAAUACUUAGGCUAGAGGCCCUAAGAUAGGCAUUGAAUUGUUGGUGUUGUUGAAUGGUUGAGAUAUAUGAUGUGUUCAUAUAUGUGAUUAUGAAUAUUGAUGCCUUGAGCCUUGAAUAUNNNNNNNNNNNNNNNNNNNNNNNNNNNNNNNNNNNNNNNNNNNNNNNNNNNNNNNNNNNNNNNNNNNNNNNNNNNNNNNNNNNNNNNNNNNNNNNNNNNNNNNNNNNNNNNNNNNNNNNNNNNNNNNNNNNNNNNNNNNNNNNNNNNNNNNNNNNNNNNNNNNNNNNNNNNNNNNNNNNNNNNNNNNNNNNNNNNNNNNNNNNNNNNNNNNNNNNNNNNNNNNNNNNNNNNNNNNUGGUUUUGUAUGAAAACAUGGUUUUUGGGCGUACUUUGACGGAAGAUAACCUAGACUGCGGAUCUCUAUUUUCUGCCAAAUCUAUUUAGAAAUGGAAUUGGAUCCGGGAUGUCCAUGCCGUUCGAAGAACGGGUGAAAAACGAUUUAAAAUGAGAAAGUUAUGUCCGUCGGAAGAUUGGGGGUUGAAUCUGUAAAUUCUGCAGCUUUUAACUUAGAAAAUUUUUAGCAAAAUGACCCCCCGCGCGUAGGCGCACUUGGCGCAUACGCGUCGUUCUUCGAGAAAACAUCCACGCGUGCGCGUGGUGUGCGCGGGCGCGUUGAUGCGCUGCACCAAAUGCCCAGCCAUUUUCCCGAGAGUUGUGCCAAAGUUGUGCCAGUUUUGUGCCUGGAGCGCAAGAGCACCCACACGUACGCGUGGCUGACGCGUGCGCGUCGUUUGGCUAAUUUUCAAUCUGCGCGUUCGCGCGUAUGACGCUUGCACGUCAAUGAGUUUUAAGGCCAUCCACGCGGGCGCGUGGAGUGCGCGUACGCGUGGCCCUGUUUUCAUCCCAAAGUUGAUUUUUGAGUUUUAAAAGCCAAAUUUCAUACUUCUAAGCCUCCAAUCUCACCACUUAUGUCUUAAAUCAUUAUGAUAUGUCUAGCUAUGAGAUAAGGGGCUAGUGAAUGUGGUAACUUGCGAGUGAAGCAAGGGAAAAAUGAAUGAUCAAUGAAGAUCAAAGAUGAUUAUGUGAGAUGUGGAGGAUGGCGGUGGAAGUGCUUGUUAUGCCAUGGGCCGAAGGGCCGUAAUUGUAAAUAAAUUGGCUGGUUAUGGAUUUAACCGUGAGCCGGAUGGCUAGAUUAUCGCCGUGUUACGGCAGAGCCAUGUUUAUGGCUAAGUAUAAAUGCAUAUAUGCUGUUGAAUGAAUUGUGAAUGUUGAAAGGGAAGUAUUAGUUAGACUGAAUAAUCUUUAGUCAGUUGCCACUUACGGUUUAGCUUGUUUAUAAGCUUUGAUAUUAUCUGGAGGAAGUUCUAGGAUUUCCUUCGGCUUUCCUCUAUUAUUAUGUAUUAUAUAUGUGGAAGCUGUUACCAUGCUGGGGACCUCUGGUUCUCACCCAUGUGAAUUUUGUGAUUUUCAGAUGCAGGACGCGAGGCUUCUCGUUGAGGCAUGCUGGAGACUUCUGGAUUAGCGAAGAUCCUUUGUUCUCGGGACUCUGUUUUGGGUUAUAUAUUUUGUUUAGAUACUUUUAUCUCCAUUAAAUAAUACAAACUGUGAUGACUCCUCUUAUAGGAGGUUUUGGAGAAUAGGUUUCUGUAUUUGUGUCCCUUUGGGUUUUUCUUAUUUUAUUAUAUGUAUAUAUUGCUAUGCUCGGACCGGUUAUCUUCGCAGCCGGAUUUUGAGUCUUGAUAUUCCUGUUUUUCACACUCCCUUGUAUAUAUAUAAUCUCGCGUUAGCUUAUCCUUUGCUCGUUACGUUAUCGAUCGGAGUGUUGCGCGUUCGAGUUACGGUUUUUGUUUACCCCUUUUUCUACAAAGGCUCCUAGUUAUAAUCAAUUAUUCAUACUACUAUACGUACUAAAUUUUUGUUUUAGAGGUCGUAAUACCUUGCCAUCUCUGAAUUAUGACUUAAGCAUAAGUCUCUGUAUGGUAGGAUGUUACAGUAGGUGCUGCUUUGACUAAUGGUUAGUGUUAAUGAAUGCCUUAGGCUCGUGUAAAGGAUAGUAACUUGCGGGAGUUUACUAUAGAGAAGACUUGUAAUUACGUCACCCAAAAAAUACCUUUUACAUUUGGGCUUUGCAAGUAAGUGGACAAAUUUAAAUAAAUUGUUAUGGUUUUUAUUAUUUCUAAUACUGGUAUAAUAUAAGUGGUUAUGGAUUUGUGAAACAAAAUAUCUUGUCGAUUUAUUGAAGUCAGUGAUGAAACCAUAUUUGAUGAUAAAUUUUGAAUUGAUUUGAGUGGAUUUCAUCAUACAAACCAAUAUUUAUUCACCUAAAUAGCAUGCUUUUGUGCUUUCUCUUUAAAUUAUGUCCAAUCUUGAAAACAUGCUAUUUUGCGCUUAAUUUGAUCAAUUUUAUUCCACUUUCAUUCUAUUCGAUGCCUUGAUGUUUUGAUGAGUGAUUGUAGGAGUAAUAGGUUAGAAUGGCUUGAUAAGGGUGGAAAGAAGCAUGCAAUUAGGAGAAAACAUGAAAGAAACAAAGGAGAAGCACACAGCCAAGUGUGCGUACGCACAACUUUCUGUGCGUACGCACAAGUGCAGAAAUCAGCAUGUGUGCGUACGCACAAGUCCCUGCACAUGACUUCAUUAAAAAGUCACAUGGCUCGCGAUUUGGGAGGCUUUUUGGCCCAAUUCUGAAGGGUUUGAAGCUUAUAAAGGAGGGGCUAGCAACCAUACAACCUAACAACUCAUACCAUACAUUAUACAACACACUUAGGAUAGUUUUAGGUAGUUUAGUUUAGGUUUUUCUCUCAAUUUUUCUUAAGAUGUAAUUAAGGUUUUUGCAUUCUCCAAUUUUGAUCUUGGUCUCUAGCUUAUUUUCAUUGUAAGUAUUUCUUAAUUUUCUCUUUUAUUACACUACUUGUUCUACACUUUCUUAUAUUUUAAUUUCCUUCAUCAAUACAUAUAUACUUUUGCAAUUUUGAGUUUUGAUUAAUGAAUUUGAUGUUUAGUGAUUUUUAUAUGUUUAUUGAGUUGCCAUUGUUGAUUUUAUUCUUUUGUGGUUCAUAGUUUUUUAUCAAUUUCUGAAUUUUGCCAUGUUUUAUGAUUAUGCCCACCAUGUGUUUGAUGAAAUACCAAUUUUGAUUAUGGGAAAAAUUUCCACGCCUUGGCAUAGGAAAAUGAGUAUAUGGAAUACUAGAGUCAUAAUGUCCGACAUUUAGUGAUAAUUCUUGGGUUGUUAGAUGUUAUUGUUUCCACUAACGCUAGUUUUUUACCAAGGUAAUUAGUAAGUUAGCUAGGAUUUAUGGAUUAAUAACAAUUAUGCUCACUUGACUUAUUCUUUGAUGUUAAGGGUUGACUUGGUGAGAUUAAUCCAUCAUAAUUAUCAUAGUUGUGGUUAUGGCAAGGAAGGAAUUCCAUAACUCAUCCCAAGUCAAGGCUUCCAUUUAUGUUUUGAACCACCUUUCCAUCUUUUUAAGCUUUACUUGUUCAUACCAUAUAGAUAGUUCUUUAAUUCCUUUAUUAGUUUAUUAAUUAUAAUUUUGAUCAUUCUUUAAUUCCUUUAAUCGUUUGCCUCACUAUUGAAAACCCUUUGAUUUUCACAACCAAAAUUGUGCACUUGUUGUCACUAGUUCCUAGGGAGAACGACCUGAAGUUUUAUUACUCUCGGUUAUUUUAAUUUGAAUUAAACUUUGAUUGAUGAGAUUUAAUUGCCAGAUUGGACUAUGCUACUGACGAAGUGAUUCGUGUUUUGAGAAAUUUUAAACCGGCACAAAAUCUCACUCAUCAAGUUUUUGGCGCUGUUGCUAGGGAGCUAGUGCAAUUGAGUGCCAUAAUUUUGAUUGUUGUGCAUAUGUGAAUAGUGUGAAUAGAUACUUUUUGGGUUGUUUGUUUGCUUUUGUAAGUAAUUAGGAUUUUGUUUCUUUUGUUACUUGAUGUCUUUUGUUUUUAUUUUCUAUUUUUCUUUAUGAGUUAUCACUCUCUUUACUUGGAGAACAGUUAUGAUCAUUUUGUAGGGCUUGAUAACUUCAAUUUUGGAUUGCAUUAUGGAAUGGAAAAUUCAAUUGAGGAAGGCGCAAUCUCCUCCUUAUUACAAUGAGUCAAACCCUCCCCAAUAUGCAUACCCAAACCAAGGAUAUGGUGGAUUUCCCAAUGAUUACAUACUUCCACCACCAUAUACCUAUGACCCAUACCCCCAACAUAAUUCUCAAUCACCACAUUUUCAAACACCACACCAAUACCAUCAUCCACCUCCUUACAUACCAUCUCAAGAUACUCAUCAACGUGAACUACCUCCCACAUAUACAACCUUCCUCCCAAACAAUGAAACCCCUUUUUCACCACAAUGUAAAAUUCUCCAAUCCUUGACCCAAGAGCAACAAGACCUUCAAGUCUUUCUCUAAGAGCAAGAAGAACUUCGAAGGACACAAGGAAAACUCAUGUCUACCAUAGCCGAGGCAGUGAACCGUUUAGUCCUUCUACGCUCAUCCGAUCAAGGCACUCCUCUUGAAGAAUGUGAAGGACCAACUAAAGAAUGGAGUGAAGAGGAGAACAUGAAGCCUCAGGUGGAAGAAGAGGAGCUAAGGUUGGAACCGCAACAAGAGGAGGAAAGUGGGAUGAGUGAACCGGAAGAGGUAGAGGGAGAAUUGAGGAAGAUUGAUCUAGAUGUGGAUUCCAUCAUCGACAAUUUUUUGUCCACAUUGGUCAAUCCCCUUAAUGAUCUUAAUGAACCUCUUCCCAUUAAGUUUGAAAGAGAUACGGAGGUAGACUUCUCACAACCUCCUUCUUAUGAUUUGAGUGAUGGGGAAGAGGAAGUUGGUGAGGAAUCAAUUCCGUUCCAAGAGCAUAUUGAGUGGGUGGCUGAUAAACCACUAUUUUAUGGUUUAUCUUGUGCUCAAUUGAGUGGAUUUUAUCAACUCUUUACCCACUUAUUCAUACUAUUUGCAUGAGUUUACAUUCUCAUUCUUGAUUUUGUGAUAUGAUUGAAAACAUGCUUCUUUGGCCUUAAGUUCCCUACGUUUAAUCCUCUCUUAUUACCAUUAGAUGCCUUGAUAUGUGUGUUAAGUGAUUUCAGAGAUUAGUGGCAGUUUCACCGAUGAACUUCAUUGGCCCCAUCAAUAUGCUAUCUUGGAGACGGAUUACCAACCUAAGGUUCUUCUUGGGUUGGUACAUGGUGGAGAAAGGGGUGUUGGUUGCCAUGUGAAUCCAAGGUUCUUCAAGAAAACCAUUUCAAGAGUUGGAGUUCAAGUGGGAUGCAAGGCACAAUUAUGUGAUUUCCAGAGAGUGUUGGGUUACUUCAAGGGUAAUUUAAGAGUUUGUCCAUCCGACUUGAAGCAUAGAGAUCAACAAGAAGGAGAAUGGGAAACUAGAAUAUAGGAUCCCGGAGGAGCUUUGAAGUGCAAGCUUGGAUGGAGAUUCAAGGAGGAGUGGAAACAUAAGCCACCCUAACAAGAGUCUCCUCAAAAAGUCUAACUUAAGGACUUUAAAUAAAAGUGGUAGUUGGGAGACACCCCACUAUGGUAACAUUGUUUCAACCCUUCUCUUUGUUUAUAAUUUGCCUUAACUGCAUUUUUGUUUGUCUUAGCUAGAUUAGGAUUAGUUUAAUUUUGAGCAUAGGUAGGUUGAUUUUCAUAUGGAUCAUAAAUUUAUGGAUUUCUGGAUGUUUUGGGUUGAAAUUUGUGUUGAGCUAAGGAUUAAGGGACUUAGAAAUUAAGAAAUUUUUUUUUUUGGAAAAACAAGGCAUUGUGCGUGCGCACACAGUUGUGCGUACUCACACAAUCACUGAAUUCUGCGUCCUGUGCGUACGCCGCACACUUGUCUUCACAGCCCCUGUUGGGAGCGCUCGCACGCUUUUGUGCGUGUGUGCAUCCCAGUUUUUGCUCCUUGUAUGUGCACACAAGCUUGUGCGUACGCACAAAAACCCCAAAUUCCUCAUUUUGUGUAUACGCACACUCAUUUGCAUCCCUUCUGUUGGAAGCGCUCGCACCUCUCUGUGCGUGCGCACCUUGGCCUUUUUGCUCUCUGUGCGUAUGCACACAUGCUUGCGCAGGCACACAUGAUCUGUAAAAAAAAAAAGUCUUCUGUGCGUAUGCACACCUUUGUGCGUACGCACACAUCUUAAUUCCCUCUCUGCUCGGAGCAUUCGCACAUGUCUGUGCGGACGCACACCCCCCAUUUUUCACCCAGUGUGCAUGCACACACCUGUAUGUGCGUAUGCACAAGUGCUGCUUUGGGCAAAAUUUUGAUUUCACUUUGAAUUAAACCCUAAGGCACUUCCACCCCUCUCCAUCUCUCUCUUUUCUUUCUUUUACCCUUUUUUCUACUUAUCCUAGUUAGUUUUAUUUGCAUUUCAUUUUGAUUUUAGUAAUUUUAUUAGGUUUGAUUUAGUUGUUUGUCAAUUAAAUAAGUUGCAAGUAUUUUCUUGAUGUUGAUUAGGUUGCUUCUUGCUUGCAAUUUUGGCUUAAUUUUUUAUUAAUAUGUGCACUAAGCAUUAAGUUUUUGUUUAAUUGCCUAAAUGAAUUGUGAGUUUGAUUCAUAUGUUGUAGCUACCAUAUGUAUUAGACUAUAUCCUUGUUUGGCAACUUAAUCAUGAAUUGUGCACCUUGGAUGAUCAUUGAUGUUAUUUAAGAUUGAAGUUCAUCAAUGCACUUAUACUUUGUCUUAAUUUACUAAGUAUCUAGUGGGUUUAAAAAUUCAUGUUUUGAUUACACCCUAGGACAAAUUAUUUGUAAGUGCAUUGAAUAUUAGUGAAUUGAGUUGAAUUACUUGUUCAUCAUGCCUCUCAUAUAAUCACAUUACACGGUACUUGUUUGUUUUUAAUGUUAUACAUUUGUUUGAGUGACUCGACUUGAUUCUUAUCAAGCUUGUCACUUUUUGCAACAAGUACCUUUACCAUGUGACUAUUUCAUUAUGUUUCAUGAUGAAUAAGGAGUUUUCUUUUCAUUAUUAGAUUGGUUAUUGUUUAUUGUGCUUCUAUAUCAAUUUUGCACUUUCCCUUGCACAAUUUCAAUAUCCAAUAUCUCAAAUAUUCAAUUUACUUUAGUUGUGGUUACCUAGGUUUUUAUGUGCCUUAUCUCUUGCUAAUGCUUUACUUGCAACCUAGGCUACUUAAUUGAGGAAUACAUGCUAUUUCUUUUUUAUUGUGUGGUUUUUGUUUUUACCCGGCCAAUGCGUCUGUUCUAAACCGUGCACACUUAGAUACACACAUUGUCGUCUAUCAUACCACACUCAUUUGAACUCUUCCUCAAUUCCUGUUUAAUUAUUUUAUACAGCAACCCGAGUCCGGUGCCCACCAGAUGAAGGUGGAGCCUCUUAGAGUCUUUCAUCCCCCGGAUUACAUGCGUGCACAGAGGACCGUGCAAUAUUUAAGUGUGGGGAGGAUCCGCAAUUUUGGGGUGUAAAUUUCUCUUUCUAACACUUUGCACUAUUUUUUUUUUAGUUUUAAGUGUGGGGGAGGAUCCACAAUUUUAGGGUAUAAAUUUCUCUUUCUAACACUUUGCACUAUUUUUUUUUAGUUUUUAGUAGUUAUGAAUUUGGUGACUACUAGAAAUAGGGUGUUUUUGGACGAAAAUUUCAAACGAAAUUUAUUCCGUCUGAAUGACUUUUUCAUUUCGAACAAAUUUGAGACAAAUGUAGAACAAUUUUUAGUAGAGACAUUGGAAUAAUAUAUUCUAUCCUAAAUUUGCCUAAAUUUUGUCCUAAAUAUUGGCGCCAAUUUUUUUUUGGAUGGCGCCAAAAUUUUCAUACAGAUUAGCAACACAUUUUGGACAAAAACUAUAAUUCGUCCGUAUUCUAUCUGAAUAUGCGCAAUAACUUCAGACGGAUUUGGGACGCAUUUUGAAAAAUGUUAAUUCUAUCCCAAAUUUGUCUAUAAUUAGUCUUAAAUGCUUUUACUAUAGCUAACCCUUCGAAGUAGCUAAAAUUUUUUCCCACAAAUUUGGGACGAAAAUAACAUCAUUUGUAAAUUCUGUUUGGAAGUGCAUCAGUUUUCAAACAAAUUUUAAAUGUUUAUUAAAAAAUUUUAACAUUUAGUAUAAAAAUAUUAUUUAUAUUUUAAAUUAGUCUAUUAUUUUUUAAUUUAUUCUUUUAAUUAUUUACUUUAUAAUCAUUAUCUUCGUCUUCAUCCUGGUCCUCGUCCUCAUUCUCAAAUGUCUCAUCAUCAUCAUCAUCUUCAUAUCUUGUACUAUCGGUAUCCAAUAAAUCAAUAAUAGUGUCAAUAUUAUUUGAGAUAUGAUUGUUAGAUUGAUUUGUGACAUCUUCUUGAUAUGCAAAAUCUUCUGUGUUUCAAUCUCAAUCUCACCUCUUGCUUUAGUCUUGAAUACAAACCACCAUUCUGCUUUUAACAAAAUGAAAUAAAAAUAAAAUAAAAAUAUUUAUGAUAGAGUAAAAUUAACAAAAUACUUAUUGUNNNNNNNNNNNNNNNNNNNNNNNNNNNNNNNNNNNNNNNNNNNNNNNNNNNNNNNNNNNNNNNNNNNNNNNNNNNNNNNNNNNNNNNNNNNNNNNNNNNNNNNNNNNNNNNNNNNNNNNNNNNNNNNNNNNGUUCCAAUUAAUAUAGAAUAGCUAGAUAUUCUUAAAAUAUUAGUGAAAAUAUAUAUUUUAAAUUUUAAUUUUAAAAUUUUGACUAUUUUUUAUUUUAUAUUUAUAUAGGACUGAGUCAAUCGGUUCAACCAGUGAUCCAUCAGUUGAACUAAUGACCCAGUGAUCCAGUAAUCUGACUAGUUCGAUUACCGGUUCGGUUUUGAUAACUAAAUAAGAUAAAUUAAAUAAAGAACUACCCUUAAAGUAAUAUUAAAAUUUUUAAUAAUGAAAAUUAUAGUAAUGAACAUUAAACCACAUAAUGAUAAGUCACAAAAAAAAUCACAUAAUGAUAGUUAUUAAAAAAGAAUUUAUCUAUGAAGAAUUUUUUUCAAUUGACUCUUUUAGCACACUAUAUAUAGAUACAGUAGCUCAAAAAAAAUUUUACUUAUCUAGAAGUCUCUGGUAUGGCUUAUGAGAUGGAUUGGAGACUUAUGAGUCGAAACAGUUGUUAGUUUUUUUACUGGAGCGAUUGGGUUAGUACUUAGCAAGAACACUCCGACGCUCAAGUUAGAAUGGAUUUAUGAAAUAUAUGUGUGUGGAAUAAGGAAUGUAACUGAGGGGCCUCUGGCUCCCCUUUAUAUAAUUCGAUACAGUUAUCUUAUCUUAUCUAUCUUAUCUAUUAAUAUAAAAGGAAUUUUUAAUUUCAAAUAUUGAUUUUACUAAAUAUUUAUCUUUUAAGAUUAUUAUAUAACAAAGAUUUAAGAACAUAAUUUAAUUUAAAAAUUUUAAAAUUAAUAUUAGAUAUAAUUCUUUUUAAAUAUCUAUCAUUUAGAUAUCAAUAUUCCAUAAUUUAUUGGAUAUAUUUUUGUUGCAAUCUUAUCUUUUUUUAAUUUGUUAGUAAAAAUUAAAUAUAAUUUUAAUUUUAAAAUUUGUUAUAUGCAGUUGUUUCAAAGUCACUUAUUUAAUUUGCGCCAAAAAUAAAAAAUUUAUUCAAAACCGCCUUUUUAGUUCCAAAUAUUUUAGUUUUUGAAUGCUUUCUCGCUCGUAUGUAUCAUAACUAGCUAGGUUACCUUCCAAAAACCCAACAUUUUUUCAGCAUUCCCUUUUGGUUUCAGCGUCAGUUUUGGAUCUCCGUCUCCCUCCUUCUGCGUGCUCCCUCCUUCUGCAUUCUCUGCCUUCUGUGGUCACCGCUCGUGCUUCGCACUCAACGCUACGACAGCCACUGCUCCAGCCUCCACUCUCGCACCUCAGACUACCUCUACCCUCUAGAUUCGAACAAAAAAUCUCUUUUUUCACCCUCAUUCAGCGACGUUCGUCUUUUCCCUUUUCUCUUUUUAAGGACACAAAUCAUGAAUAAAAUAAAAUGUACUAACUAAUUCACCUAAAAAUUUAUUAAUCUAAAUCAGAAAAAAUAUAUACUCUAGACAUCAAUUACUCAUGUUAUCAUCCUCAUUAUUACUAGAGCCUGUACCGAGCUCAUUUUCUGUAGGAACAGACAAGGUUGAAGAAAUUGGGAGAUUCAACUUUUAUAUAAAGUAUCAAGUGUCUUUUUAGUAGAACUAAUUCUUUUCUAUUGAGCUUUUAGUUGACGUCCUUGAUCUUUUAACUUGUGCUCAAUAUCAUUCAACUUAACCUUUUGCUCUUUAUUGAUAAUUUCUUGCUCCUUUGCCUUUUCUUUCCAUAUGUGAAGUUCUUGCUCAAUAUUUAUAUCGUCUUUGGAUGUCUCUGGGCAAUCUCUGGAACCCAACUUUGAAGAGAGAUCUAAACCAAAAGAAUCUAAACAAAAAGCAGCUUUCUUUUUUCCUUUUGUUACAACUUCAUUCCAAAUAGGGUAAUCAUCUGGCAUAUCUAGGUCUUCCUUAGAUGCCUCAACAUGUCCCUUAUUAUCUAAGGAUAAAGCUACUUGAGAAAGUUCUGUCUUUCGCUUUUUGAAUUCACCCUACAAAACUAAUUCAUUUUAAUCGCAACUAAAUAUGCCAUGAACAAAUACUAACAUAUAGUGAAAAUUAUUUUUGAAAAAGACAAAAGAAGAACAAACUAGCAUCACAUACAUUGACUUUUUGAGAUCUUUCAUCAAUCCAACUCUUGUCGUUUUUGAUGUGGCAUUUAGUAUAAACCUCCUAUAGAGAAGGUUUUACUCCCGUAGCUUUCUCCUAUAAUAUUAUAGUUUUAAUCCAUAGGAAAGAAAAAAAAGAAUAAGAAAACAUUGCUCAUAAUAAGAACAAGACUAAAAUUUUAAACUAUUUUUAUCUUACCAUUCUUCGUGCAUGUUCACCCAUAGAUAUGGAACUACUAGUGUGCAUGAAAUCUCCAGGAUUUGAUGCUCGAUUCAUAGUAUUUGCUGUUGCCCAGUUCUUAAAAUGUGAAUCUGUAGCCCAAUAAUGCAAUAGUUGAUGCCAAACUGGUGCAAGAAUAUAUUUUGGUAUAUAGUCAGAGUCUUUUGAAUACUUGACUCUCUCUUGACUCAUCAACCCUUUUACUCGAGCACUCUCUUUAAUCUAAAAAAUUUGACAAACUCUUGCAUUGUGUUGAGGAUCCCACAUACAAUAUUUCUCUAAAAGAAAAUAUACAUAUACAAUGAAUUACCCACUAUGUAUAAUAUCAAAAUAUGCAAAAAAAUGAUAAUAAAUACUUACCUUAAAUUUAGUAAACUACAAAUCUCACAUUUGAUCACUGGCAUGUCUCCAUGUAGGGUAGCAUUCUGAAUAUUUGCUUUUAAUGGCAGUUGUUACAUAACGAACAGUAAUACAUGGAUUAAACCUAUAAACAGGUCAAAUAAUAAGUAAUUACACAUCCAUUCACAAUAAAAAUAAUAUAGAGAGAACAUUAAAACACAAAGGUGAUGGUUGUACUUACUCAUCUCCAAAAUGCACUAUUUUCAAGAGCCCUUCUUGAGUGACAGGUUUGCCUUCUUGAUUAAGAGAUUUAUCUUGAUGAUUUUUAUAUGAUGAGUGAGCAUGAUAUAAAUUUUGUUCAAUAUUAGGAUCAUUAUCAAAUGAUUGAGGUUGGAUAGGUGAACAACAUUGUGAUUCAACUGGUGAUAGUGAUGGUGAUGGUGUAUAAUCGGCAUGAAAUGAUAACAUUUUCUUGAAUUUUUGUGGUGGCUGCGAAGAAGAGGGUGGUAAUGCUGAAGGCUUUUUAGAUACAUGUGAAGGAACUGGAGCUCGUGAUUUUGUAGGUUUAGGGUGUGAAAGCUUAGUUUUGUGUGCACUAAUCACCUUCUUAUUAACAGAUUUUCGCACAUUAAUUAACAAGUAUUUUUUUUUAAUAACCUGACAUCUAAAACAACAUAAAAAUUUAUAAGAUUAGCAACACAUAUUGCAUUUAAAUUUUAGUAAUAUAUACAUCAUCGAAAUAAUUAAAAUAAUAACAAUGUAAAAUAGUACUUAGCUGCCAAAAUAAUCAAUUAGGAUAUAAAAUAAAGUGCUACUGUGCUUUAGUAGUAAACUACUAAUAUAUAUGUAUACAUAAGCAUUUUGAAUCAUUCAUAGUUAGGAUAAUACUAUAUGCACACAUAUGAUAAAACUACAGCCAAAUACACACAUUAGCAAUUAUUAAUUAAAUUUCUCAAAGAUGAUGCUUUUUUAUAUCUCGUUCUUUAUAUAAUUAUGCCGAGUUCGAAUAUGUUUAACUGAUAAGACAGACAAAAUUUGAUUCUUCUAUAGGUUAGUUAUGGGAUGGACAAGAUUCUUUGAAGGAACAAGGCUGUUUGACUGCAUCAGCUUUCCCAACAAGGUAACAACCAAAAAAACUUUAAUGUAGUAAUUAACUUUUAAAAUUUUAAUUACAUACCACAAUUUAACUUUUUUGUAGAUCCACCCUAUUCCAGUUCAUGUUGAAGAAGGUAAAUGUAUUCUAAUUUAUGGAAGAAUAUAGUGCAAUUGUUUUGUUUUCUCCUUCUAUUUACAUUUUUUAAUUCAUGAGUUAUAAUACAAAUAGGUUAGAGAUGGGGAGAAAUAAUGCUUAACUCUUGUACAUUAUAUAUCAUUACUAUUGCUCACUACAUAUUAGUCGUGUAAAAAUUAGGUAAUAAUUCUGUUUUGGUGGAGAAAAAAAAAAGGAAAAACAGUUAAUCAAAAUACGGCUCUUUCUUGGUAUUAUUUUUAUUGAGAAGCAGGUCCAUCUCAAACUUGACUUGCAAUUUUUGAAAGACUAGCAAAUGGCCACUUCUGCAGUGCAAACUAUUUUUGUAUUUGAAUUUUAUCUUUCUACGUUAGCCUUAUAAAUACAACAAUAUUUCUGUUUGAAUUUUGUAUUUGCUUGCACAGGAAAUAGUCUACCCAGAUAUUCCUACAAGAAGGUGUGACACCCCCAAGAAUCACGAGAUACUUUCCCAAGGAACUCAUGCUAGCAACUACGGCCCGCUAAGCAAGCAUUUCAAUCAAUAACUGAAAUGUUUCCUAAACAAGAUAACACACAAUAACAGAUUGAAGAUGCAAUAAUCCCAAAAUGGAACUCUGUAAUUGGAACUUUUGUAUCUUUAACAUCGACUCAAUCACCAUCGGUUUCUUUAACUAAAAAGAAUGGAUAAAACUACUGGUCUCUUUUUGGCGAGAGAUUCUAAUUAUAAGGUACACUCUACCAAAUUUUCUAAAACUUUUAAUAAGUUGUGUUGUUGGUUUAAUUCUAGAGUGUGUGUUGCAAUAUGAUUUCAAGUCAUUGUCUAUGGAUGUAGAUAGGGAUAAUAGUGGAGGGGGUUUAAAACUUGAAUUCUCUGAGGGGGACGCAUUUGUUGCGCAUGUCUUCAACAUGGAACCGUUUAGGUCUGAAGGGGUAUCCAGAUGUUUGUGUUAUAGGUGUCGGCUGACUAAGUGGUUAGGACCUUCGAUAUAACGCUCCACCUCUACCGUAAUGGGUUCAAGGAUGGGUAUUAGAUGUGGACAGAACAUGAAGAAGUGGACGAGUAGGAAAUUAACCGGUCUCCCUCGAAUUUAAAUAGGUCCGAUGGUCGAUCAAUGAGGGUUCGGGUGGUGAGAGAACUAAACAUGGAAGAAAUGAAUUGGGAGUGUAACCAAGAGAGAUACAAUGAGAUGGUGUUUGAUGCAAUAGGUGUUACAGAAAUGGAAGAGGUUGAACAAGAGCCUAACCCAGAGGUAAAGAGAUUUUAUCAUCUGUUAGAAUCUGCCACGACACAUUUGUUCGAGGGGUGCGUUUAUUCGAAGUUUUUUGCAUGUGCUAGAAUGAUGAGUAUUGAGUCAGAGUCAAAUCAUACCCAAGAGUCUUUUGAUAAGUGGGCCACCCUUUGCAACAAACUGGUACCUGUCAGGACCACUAGCAUCCCCAAGAGCCCGUACGAAGCAAAGAAGUUAGUUUCGAAAUUGGGUCUAAAAAUUGAUUGUUGUUUAAAUUGUUGUAUGUUGUACUACAAGAGGGAUGUAGACCUAACUGAAUGUAGAUUUUGUCAAGAGAGAACAGAUUGGUAAACAACAGUUAAAGAGAGUUCCAAUGAAACAGAUGCACUACUUACCCUUAAUCCCUAGGUUGAAACAAUUGUAUACAUCGAUGAGUUCGGCCCCUCACAUGACCUGGAAUAGUAACAACAAGAGAACACGAAAGCACAAGGACUACAAUAUCACUGAAGGUAAUAUAACAAGAAAAUAUAAGCACUAAAAUCCUUUUAUUCUACCUUAAAAUGUACGACAGAUAUACUAUUUGCCUUAUUCAGGUUCAUGCAAGUCUAGUUGGAUGAUUGUGGUUAAGACUAAGCAAAGAGGCCACAUCGAGUCUGAUGAGACAGAGAUCAAGAAGCUUGCCAGAUUGAUGACCUAACUCCUUCAAAAAUGGUGGUUGAUACCGGUGAUCCAAUCACCUUUAGGUUGCCUGUUAUGGAUGAUGAUAUCAUUGACCUUUAAAUAGAUGAUGACGCACAACCACCAGAGGAUGAUGAUCUUCAAGAAGAAGAUGGGGUCGAUGGCGACGAAGAAGAGGAAGACGAGUUCAAUGAUCAGGAAACUACUUUAAAAGAGGUGGAUGGUGAACUAGAGGAAGACGACGAUGAAUCUGAAUAGGGUUAAUGUAAAUAUAGUUCUAUCUUAUGUAUUUCUAUACCAAACUUUGAGAAGAAUGUAAUAUAAUUAGCAUUGUUUCAGAUAUUCCAAAUACCAUUAUUCCGUAUUUUUAAUUUGUAUAUUUGAUAUUUCACAUCAAGUUUAAAGCAUUGUUUCAAUUAUUAAUUAUCGGGGUACAUUAUAGAUGGACAGAAAAAAUUAUUUAAAAAGAAAAAUCUACUGUCGAAAUAUACCGACGGUAACAGCCCAGGUAAUUUUCCAAAAAAACUUAGAAAAAAUAUUUCCGUUGGCUUUUAUCGUCGGAUUAAGGGCGCGCGAAGCCGUAUGCUUUGGCGCCAAUGUUACCAUUGAAAAUUUUCUGACGGUAAGUUGCAACAGAUUUUCUUUUUUUGAUAUGCAUAUUUCGCCGCAAAAUCUGACCCAAAUUACUGUCAGAUACAUAAAUCCGAUGGUAAUUUGUUACCGACGAGGUUUGUUCCGUCGGAUAAAUUUCGACGCAAAAUUUGACGAUAAAUUGUGUACCGUCAAAUUUUAUUCGUUUUUUCGACAGUAAAUUUAUCGUUACUCAACGUUUUCUUGUAGUGACUAUUUUAAUUUAUUAUAUAUUUUGAGGUUAAAUUUUUAAUUUUGAAGGUCUAAAUUUGAAUAUAUAUAUAUAUAUGGUAACUUCUGUAGUGGCUAUAUGGUGGAGACCAAUGGAAGUAAGGCAUGGAAGGUAUAAUAGAAAUUGACCUUAUAUGGUGGAGACCAAUGGAAACAAGACAUAUGGAAGGUAUAAUAGGAACCGACCAGGAUUUUAACCAGGUUAAAGGUAGGGUAAAUCUCUUAAUGAAACAUGGUAAAUUAUUAAGUGAGUGUUAAUUUAGUAGAUGAAUUUAACAAAUAAAAAGAAAAUUAAAUAAAAAAUUAAUAAAACAAAUAAAGAAGUAAAAGGAAAAAUUAGAUUGAUCAAAGAGAAAGUAUAGGGAGCCAAUGGAAUAUUUGUACAAUGUGUACAAUGGAGAUUUAGGGAUGUCCGAUUCAGUAUUAGAGAUAUAACCAUUAGUGUUAUCUUUUCCUAUCAGCUGAAGCUUUUAGGAUGAGUGGUAUCAUGACAUGGUAUUAGAGCUCUAGAUCCAAAAGGUCAAGAGUUCGAUUUUUGGUGAACGGAUGAUAUGUUUAUUAUCCUUAGUACCCGGAUGGUUAUUCUGGAUAGUAUGGGUGAUGUUCAUAAUUAGGUUUAGAUUCUUGCCGUCGCAAGGCAAUGGUUUUGAAAUUUGCACCCCCCCUGAGGGAGGAGUUCCUUACCGUAUUGCGUUGGUUUCAUCCAAGUAAGUGCUGACUCUAUUUGUUCGCUGUGUUUUUCUUUCAUAUAGUGGAGACAGAGGAAGGCGACAGUGAGUCUUCUGACAAACACAAAGUUGCAAUGGCUGUUGAGAUCAUUGUCGCUGAUGGAUCGAGUAAGUCACCGACGAAAUUAGAGAGAAGAACCGCCGAUGCCGCUACUGUCCAUCACUAUCGUCACUAAGGACGAUGCCACUGGAAUGCUCAGCCAAGACGAGACCACUAACAAUGAAGAAACCUCAGCUAGGGAGGACAGACAAAUGACAAUGAUGAAAUGUAACUUAUAUGUGGAGGGUUUUUAUUUUUGCUGAUUUUUGUCUGAUUUUCGAUUUUCUGGUAAUCUGAAUCUUUGACUUUUUCUAGCCUAGGGUUUCUGAUUUUCUAUUUCAGUUAUAAUCUUUAGUUUUGUGUUUGUUUGAUUUUGUUGAAAUAACAUAGUUUGUGUGUGAUUGGCUUGCUCAUGAGUAAGUGACUUGAUUAAGAACUUAUAAAAAGCUAUUGUUACAUAUUUUUCUUCGAAUAAUUGCCGCAUUGUUCCUCAAUUAAGAACUCUUUUGAUGAUAUUGGUUGUUGCACUAUGUUUCUAAGGAGAAAGGGGCCAGAAUUGCAUAUAGUCAUAUAGAUAUCUUUGUAAUUGACUUCUUUAUUUAGAAACAUUUAAAUUAAUUAACAAAUUUGAUCUACAAGUUAUGUGCUGACCAACUAAAUAAAUUUUAUUUGGAGUGCAAACCAACCUAUUUGCUACCUUCUUAUGUUAGCAUAGAGGAUUUAUUGAAUAGGAAAGGAAGAGAAGAAGGGUGUGUCCAGAACAUCUACCAGAGUUUCAUUGAAUAGUCAAUUAUACAUUAUUGAUUGUGGUGAAAGUUGUAAUCUAGUGAAUUGUACGCUAAUAAUAAAUGAAAUUGUAUAUUAACUUCCUGCUUUUGAUUUGAAAACUAAUAGAUCUGUGUAUGUUAGACUUUUAUUUAUACAAAUUCUAAAAGUUUUUGUUCUAUUGCAAUAUGUUUAGUUCGAACUCAAAGAGCAAGAAAUUGAAACUUUUGGAGGGUUGGAAUUAAUGGAGUUGCAAUUCUAUGUCAUGACACUUGUCUUCAAGUCUAAGUGGCAACAAAGAGGCUUUUGAAAGGGGAUGAGAAUUGUAAUUGUGUUCUUAUACAUGUUUAAUAAAUAAUUUUUUACACAUGUUUAAUAUUUACUUUCUUCACAUUUUGACACGCAUAACAAAAAUAACUUGCCAAUAUUUCCCGCUAAUAAUAAAGGUACGAAUAAUGCUAUACAUCUUAAUUUUUUUUAUGAACUAAGUCAAAGCAAGUUAAACAAUAAGAUUUGGAAUAAUGCUUGUUAGAAACAAGAGACUGAGAGAGUAAUCUGAAAAGUGUAUUAUUGAGUUGUGUUCAGAAGUACAAUAUAUAAGGGGUAUUUAUAGGUGCUAAAUGAAUCAAAGUAAUAAAGACAUAGAAUCUUACAAUUAAUGUACAGAUAUACUAUAUAAAUAUAGACGAUACUAAUUGAUUUAAAUUGAUUCUAAUGAUUCUCUAACAUGAUUCUCUAACAUCCCCCCUCAAACUCAAGUGGAAGCUAAGGAGACCAACUUGAGUUUGGAUAACAAAGUCCGGAAACGAGUCGGGUGAUGAGCUUUCGUGAAGAUAUCAGCAGUCUGAUCCAGUGUUCCAACAGCAAUGAGACGAACAGCAUCAAUAAGAAUACGUUGCCGAACAAAAUGAUAAUCAAUCUCAAUAUGUUUGGUGCGUUCAUGAAACACAUUAUUAUGGGCAAUCUGAAUAGCACUGUGGUUAUCACAAAAAACAUCAGUAGGGGACGACUGAGGAGCACCCAGAUCUUCGAGAAGCCAACGAACCGAGAUAACCUCAGCAGUGGUGUCAGCGAGAGCACGGUAUUCAAAUAGACGAGGAGCGGACAACGAACCGAGAUAACCUCAGCAGUGGUGUUAGUGAGUCGUACGAGGAGCGGACAAGAACUGGCUGAGGACAUGUACUGGAUAGGCAAUGUCUGGUCGGGUGACAGUCAAAUAGACGAGACCGCCAACUAACUGUCGAUAGAGAGUCGGAUUAUCCAAAACAGUGCCAUCCAUAGGGGUAAAUCGAACAUUAGGCUCAAUAGGAGUAGACUCAGUGCGACUAUCUGUAAUCCCAUCGCGAGCAAGAAGAUCUGAAGCAUACUUAGCCUGAGAGAGAUAGAUGCCAUCAUCUGUGGAGAUGACAUCGAGACCAAGAAAAUAGUUGAGAGAACCAAGAUCUUUCAUCUCAAAGGUACGAUGAAGUGAGGCCUUGAGAUCAGAGAUACCAUCAACAUCAUCUCCAGUAAUGAUCAUGUCAUCAACAUACAAAAGUAGAAGGACAACUCCACGUUCGCUUUUACGAAUGAAGAGGGCAUUCUCAUGAGGACUAGAAGUAAAACCAAGACUGCAUAUGGUAGUGCUGAACUUGUCGAACCAUUCACGAGGAGCUUGCUUAAGUCCAUAAAGUGCCUUGCGAAGGAGACAAACCUUACGAGAAGGACAAGGAUAUCCCGGAGGGGGUUUCAUAUAGACUUUCUUUUUCAAGUCCCCAUUAAGAAAUGCAUUCUUCACAUCCAUCUGACUGAGAGACCAUUUUUUAACCGCAGCAAUGGCAAGGAGAGCUCUAACAGAUGUAAGGCGAUCGACAGGAGCAAAAGUCACUUCAUAAUCAAUACCAUACUCUUGCGUGCAACCUUGAGCAACCAAGCGUGCCUUAGAACGGUCAAUAGAGCCAUCAGAGCGAGUCUUGAUCUUGUAUACCCAUCUACUGCCCAUAACUUCCUGAUCAGAAGGAGGAUCAACCAACUCCUAAGUAUGUGCUUUUUCAAGUGCCUGUAUUUCUUUCUGCAUUGCUUUUUGCCAAUUUUGAUUUGUGGAGGCUUCUCUAAAUGACUUAGGUUCAUGUUGAUGAAGAAUAGUAGAAAAUCAAUGAUAAUCAAGAAGAUGAGGAGGUGGAUUCCUUACCCGAGAAGAACGAGUGGGAGGAGGAGGAAUGACGGUAGGAGCGGGAUCGCCGUCCGGACUGGAAUCAUCGGGAGAUGGGGAAGGCGGAGGGGCAGGAGCCUCGAGGGGUGGACUUGGGGUAUACCCUGUAGUAUCAUCACUAGGAAAGAGAUCAACAUUUGGGUUAGUAAAAAACGGUGACGGAGUAUAAGGAAUGGACUCAAAAAAGGAAAAACUAGAGAACAUGUGAUGCUCCCAGAAGACAACAUGACGAGAUAUACGAAUACGGCGAGAGAUAGGAUCCCAACAACAAUAACCCUUAUGUUCAGAAGCAUAACCAAGAAAAUAACACAUGCGAGCCCGAGGUUCAAGUUUAUUAUGUUCAUGAGGCUGAAGAAGGACAAAGCAGACACAACCAAAAACACAGAGAGAACUGUAAUUGGGAGAAGUACGAUAAAGACGCUCAAAGGAGGUAGUGUUACCAAGAACAAAAGAAGGGAGUCUAUUGAUAGCAUGAACAGCAGUGAGAACAGCUUCACCCCAAGCACGCUCAGGACAGGAAGAGGAAAUAAGCAUCGCACGGACAGAGUCAAGAAUAUGACGGUGUUUACGCUCAGCUCUGCCAUUUUGUUGAGAAGAACCAGGACAAGAAAACUCAGACAAAGUACCCUGUUCAGCGAGGAAAUUUAAAAGUUUGGAGUCACGGUAUUCCAUAGCAUUAUCACAUCUGAAAAUUUUAAUGACCUUUGAAAACUGAGUUCGAACCAUAGUAGCAAAGUUAAUGUAAAUCUGAGGCAACUCACAAUGAUUAGUCAUCAAAUAAACCCAAGUAAAACAUGAAUAAUCAUCAAUAAAGACGACAAAAUAUCGAGUCCCUCCCAUAGAAGCGGUGGAAGCGGGGCCCCAAACAUCAAAAUGAAUAAGAUCAAAAGGAGAGUAUGCAAUAGAGGAAUUAUUAUUAAAGGAUAAGGCAGGUUGUUUUGCAGUGAGACAAGAAAUGCAAUCUAAAGACUCAUUUUGAACUUGACCUAAAACACCUGUAGAUAUAAGAGGACGCAAUUUUUCUAAGGAGUUAUGAGCAAGACGAUGGUGCCACAAGUGAAAAGUGGAUGGAGAGGAAGCAGCACAGAGAUUUGUAGAGGGAACAUGAAGGUUCUCGAGCUCAAAUAAGCGUCCGACCUUACAGCUAGUCCCGAUGAUCUUUCCCGUCCGACGAUCCUGGAGGGGUGGAAAGAGUAGCGGGGGUAUUACCAGAAAAAGAGAGAAGUUACUUAAGAAGGGUUUCAAUAUCUGAUGGAGAGACAGAAGGUGUGUUGAGAGAUGUGGAAGAGGUGGACUCAGUAGCAGCAGCAGCAGUAGAGGCAGGCACAUGCGGAGAGUUGUUGGGACGAGGUUGAUACUUGUUCUGAUCUGAACGUGGUGGUCGAGUAGGACAGGUAGCAAUCAAGUGACCCGAGAGCUUAUAAUAAUGGCAGAACAGUUUCGGGCAGUUGGAGCCAAUGUGGCCUUUUUGUUUGUACUUACGACAUUCAAUAGAAGGACAGUCAGAGAAGGAAUGUCCAGGCCGGUUACAGUUGCGAUAGAUUUUACCCUUUCUGUCAGUGACAGCAAAGAUAGUUUCACUUCUAGAACGAAGCAAUCCCAAGCGCGUUUCUUCAGACUUGAGAUGAGGAAGAGCAUCUUCAAGACUAGGCAAGGGAUUCUGAUGAAGAAGAGAAGCCCUGACCGGCUCAUAGUCAUCAGUAAGUGCCAUCAAAAAUUGGAUGAGACGUGUCCGGUUCCUAUAAUCCUCAUAUGCCUUAGCAUUAGUGGGAUCUUUAAGAACAGGCUCACAAGAGGUCAACUGAUCCCAAAUAAUCUCCAUCUGAGCAAGAAAAUCAAAAACUGUUUGGCCACGUUCUUACUUGAGGCUAUGAAGUUCCUUAAGCAGUUGGUACUGAUGAGAGAGAUCAGAAAUAGUGUAACGUUUCACCAAAUGAUCCCAUACCUCUUUAGCAGUUUCAAAAUGCCCAAACUGUAAAUAAAUGCCAGGAGUAGAAGUGUUGCGGAAUCAAGUGAUAAUCUGAUGAUUUUUACUAUCCCAAUCUUCCAAUUUCUUUGCAUAGUCCUUCUCCUUCUCAGCAUCCUCCUUGGAUUUAGAGGCACCAUCUUUGGAUUUGUCAGUCAUAGUUGGCUUAACAGGACAAGCAAUAUCACCAGUCACAUAUCACCAUAAUUUUCGCCCUUUAAGAAAUCCUCGCAUAGCUUCAACCCGAGCCAUUAAGGAUAAUAGGGAUAGGCUAAAAGACAUCUGAUUUUUCUAUAGUAAUAGAAGAAAUAGCAAAGGGAAGAAGAAAACUGUAAAUUCGGGGCAGAAAACAAGAAAACGGAGCGCAGAAUCGAAAAGAGCUCACCAAAAAACCUUAGGGAGGGUCUCAUUUGUCCACCACGUCAGCGCCACGUCAGCAGUCAUAUCAGCGCCACGUUAGCGAGACAAGGACACGUGGCGGCACCUGAGAGGAGGGAGAGAGACACGCUGACAGCCAGGUGGAAGCGCGGGUCAAAGGCGGGUUGGGCCGGGCGUGCGCGGGUCAGGGGCGUGCUUCUGGAAGGAGAAAUAAUGGAGGUGGACAGCGAACUUCCGGCGGUGUGUGACGGCGCGUCCGGUGGCUGAUGGCGGCGUUCUCGGCGGCGUUGGAAAGCUAACAAAGAGAAGAACACGAUGAUGCCGAAGGUGACGAACCAAAGCGUCAGAAACAGAUCGAAAAAUGAGAGCAAAGAGGCACAUGUGGAAUCUGGAAGGAAGAUCAACCUGGUCGUGGCAGCGUCUUUCAGCGGCGCGUGGCGGCACGUCUGGCGGCGGAUGGCGGCGGUUCUGGUUGCGUUGGAAUCAUGGCGACAAGACGAACAAGAUGGUUACGGGGGUGACGAACCAAAGCGUCGAAAAGGGAACGAAAAGAGAGGCCAAAGAACACUGCUGGAAAGGAAAAAAAACAAUGGGGUACGGUUAUGAACUAAUAUUCAUUGAAAAAAAAAAGACCUAAGCUCUUGAUACCAUGUUAGAAACAAGAGACUGAGAGAGUAAUCUGAAAAGUGUAUUAUUGAGUUGUGUUCAGAGGUACAAUAUACAAGGGGUAUUUAUAGGUGCUAAAUGAAUCAAAGUAAUAAAGACAUAGAAUCCUACAAUUAAUGUACAGAUAUACUAUAUAAAUAUAGACGAUACUAAUUGAUCUAAAUUGAUUAUAAUGAUUCUCUAACAUGAUGCUCUAACAAUGCUAACUAUAAUUGAUUUUGUUAUGUUAGACUAAUUUAGUUUGAUUUGAUUAACAAAAAGAUUUGGAUAUAUAGCAUUAUUACGGUGCAACUAGGUAUCCAUCAUAAUUCAUCCUUUAAUCAGUCAUUAUUUAUUGUAAUAAUUAUUUUUAAUUAUAUAUCAAAUCUUCUCUUAUAUAUUCAAAAUUCAAAACUAUAUCUUCUUAAAGUUAGAAUAUUUAAAUUUAAACCAAAUAAAACAAAAAUAACAAACUAAAAUUAAACUCUAACCAAAUUAAAAUUUAAAAUAAUACUAUCAAAAUCAAUUUUUUCGGUUUUAAGAGGGUGGUAUAUAUGAUUUUUUUUGUUCUAAUUAACAAGAGUAAUGAACAUAAUUAUUUUUGAAUGAGUUUUAAAUGUGUCAAGAAAUUAUUUAGUGUGCAAUUUUAUAAUUUUAGAUGUAUUUUUAAUGUAUACAAUAGUGUUGAACAUUAGCCUAACAGUAGUGACGACUACAUUUGCUUUAUGACAAUCUUUUUUUCCUUUGAGUAUAAGAAAAUUUCUAUUUCAUUAGUUUUGUCAGCGUGGCUCAAAAAACUUGUUUAACACCUCGUUCUUUGACUUUACUGCAUGCAGAAGAAGUGCUAUAUAUAUUGAGCUGUUUCCAAAACCAAAGCUGCAAAAGAGAAUCACUUUUUUCUUAUUAUUUGUGUUAAAAAAAUAUUUAUGCUAAGAAAAUAUAAGUACAAAAUUAACGAAUCCAAUGUAUAUCAAAAGUAUUUUGUGUUAUUUUAUUAUUUUUUACGUGUUAAAAGAUUAUUUAUGUAAAAAAAAUAUACACAGAUUUAAACGAAUUUUAAAUGUGUUUUCGAGCGUAUUUUGUAUAUUGUCUUAUUAUUUUAGAUAUGUUAUGAACAUAUAUAAAAUAAUAAAAAAAUAUAAAUAAAAUAAUCACAUGAGACAUACCAGCAACUUUGAAAUGUUAAUGUAAUGUUGAAUAUCAACUUGCCUAGGUGGUACACGUCCUUCAUGAAACUAAGGAAUAAAAAAAUUGAAGUUGUAGAUUUUGUGAAUAAAAAAUGCCAAAUUUCCAUCAAUAAUAAAAAGUAAAAAAAAUUAAAAUAGUAAAUGAAGAAAAAAAAACUAAAAAUGUAAAUAAAUGAUUAUUUUUCUUGUAAAAAAGAAUAAAGAAUCACAAUCAUGAACCACAUAAUAAUGAAAAACUAAAAUAAAAUUACGAACACUAAUAGUCACACAUGGAAAUAAAAUAACAUGAAUGGAGUAAUUUGGCAUCGGAUUCGACGGUCUCAGAACGUUUAGACCAUUAAAUGGUCCCAUAAUAAAAACAUGUUUUUUAAGUUUUUCAAUAACUGUUAAAUAGUCCGUUUCUAAUUUUAAUUACAAAUUAACCCCAUAUAUUUUAUUUAAUUAUAAAAAUUAUUAUUUUCUUAUUUAAUAAUCAAAAACAAAAACAAUAACGAAUUAGAUCUUCCAUUGAUCGUAAUAACUUUUUAGCAAUUCCAAUCGAUUAAAAGUUUAUCUUUGAUCCAUUACAUCGGUCGAGGAUUUUGAAAUCAUAUUUCUUAGAAAAUCAAUUGAUUGGGUUAACAAAACAAUCAAUUAAAUUCCAGGUUUCCCAUAACUCAAUCGAUUUAUAAACCAUUAGUCAUGGCGCGAUUCAAAAUUCAAUCGAUUGGAUUAUCCUACCAAUCGAUUGAAUGCAGAAAAAAACUUAUUUACGUCACAUUUCAAUUGAUUGAAUGAUCAUAUCAAUCGAUUAAACCUUCAUAUAUCAUUUUAAUAUCGGCCUUCAAUCGAUUGAAUUAUAAAAAAUUCGCAUUCUAGUCAUCGUUCAAUCGAUUGGGUAAUAUGAUCAAUCGAUUGAUUUUUGCGAAAAGCAUACUGUCUUGCAACUUUCAAUCGAUUGUUUUGUGGUAACCUGAAGUCCAACCGAUUAAGUUAUGGGAAAUCUGAAAUUCAAUCGAUUGUUUUGUUAAUCCAAAUGAUUGAUUUUCUAAGAAACACGAUUUUAAAAUCCUCCACGGAUGUAAUGAAUCAAAUAUAAACUCUUAAUCGAUUGGAAUUGCCAAAAAGUUAUUACGAUCAAUGAAAGAUCUAAUUCGUUAUUGUUUUUUUUUAUUAUUAAUAAACAUAAUAGAUGAAUAAUAAAAUAAUAAUUUAUAAAAUAAAAAAUAAUUUUUAUGAUUAAAUAAAAUAUAUAGGGUUAAUUUGUAAUUAAAAUAAAAAAUAGACUAUUUAGCAGUUAUUAAAAAUUUUAAAAAACAUAUCUUAUUAUGACACCAUUUAAUGGUCUAAACGUUCUAGGACCAUUGAAUUCUUUGUUGAGUAACUUGAAUGACUAACUUCCUAAAAAAUGUAAAAUAUGAAAAGGUAGUUACUCACCGGUGUUAAGCAUUAAAAUUUUUAAAAUUUAAAUUAAAUAAAAGUGUUAGUGAUUCCUAAAAUAUAGGAAAUAUGAUUAAAUAAAAAUUAAAAAAUAAUAUAAUAAAGUAAUUAGAUUUAAAGGUUGGGUAAAGGAUAAACUUUAAAGAAAAAGUAGUAUUUUCCUAAUAAUAAAUAGUAAUCAAUGUUUUCACUCACAUUACUUCUCUCGUUAUUGCAUUUUUAGAUUUGAGAUUUUUUAUAUUUCAGAAUUAAAUUACAAACUUUCCUCUAAACAGAUAAAUUUUUUUUUCACACAAAAGAUAGCUGACUGAUGAGUGAGAUUUUGUGCCAGUUUAAAAUUUUUCAAAACAAGAAUCACUUCAUCGGUAGCAUAGUCCAAACCGGCAAUAAAAUCCCAUUAAUCAAAGUUUAAUUCAAAUUAAAAUAACCGAGAGUAAUAAAAUUUCGGGUCGUUUUUCCUAGAAACUAGUGACAACAAACACACAAUUUUAGUUGUGAAAAUCAAGGGAUUUUUAAUAGUGAGUCAAACGAUUAAAGGAAUUAAAGAACGAUCAAAAUUGUAAUUAAUAAACUAAUAAAGGAAUUAAAGAACUAUCUAUAUUGUAUGAACAAGUAAAGCUUAAAAAGAUGGAAAGGUGGUUCAAAACAUAAAUGGAAGCCUUGACUUGGGAUGAGUUAUAGAAUUCCUUCCUUGCCAUAACCACAACUAUGAUAAUUAUGAUGGAUUAAUCUCACUUAGUCAACCCUUAACAUUGAAGAGUAAGUCAAGUGAGUAUAAUUGUUAUUAAUCCACAAAUCCUAGCUAACUUACUAAUUACCUUAGUAAAAAACUAGCAUUAGUGGAAACAAUAACAACUAACAACCCAUGAAUUAUCACUAAAUGUCGGACAUUAUGACUCUAGUAUUCCAUAUACUCAUUUUUCCAAGUCAAGGGGUGGAAAUCUAUCCUAUAAUCAAAAUUGACUUUUCAUCAAACACAUGGUGGGCAUAAUCAUAAAACAUGGUGAAAUUCAAAAAUUGAUAAAAAACUAUGAACCACAAAAGAACAAAAUCAACAAUGGCAACUCAAUAAACAUAUAAAAAUCACUAAACAUCAAAUUCAUUAAUCAAAACUCAAAAUUGUAAAAGUAUAUAUGUAUUGAUGAAGGAAAUUAAAAUAUAAGAAAGUGUAGAACAAGUAGUGUAAUAAAAGAGAAAAUUAAGGAAUACUUACAAUGGAAAUAAGCUAGAGACAAAAUCAAAAUUGGAGAUUGCAAAAUUGUAGAUAAACCCUAAUUACAUCCUAAGAAAAAUUGAGAGAAAAAUCUAAACAAAACUACCUAAAACUACCCUAAGUGUGUUAUGUAUGGUAUGAGUUCUUAGGUUGUAUGGUUGCUAGCCCCUCCUUUAUAAGCUUUAAACCCUUCAAAAUUGGGCCAAAAAGCCUCCCAAAUCGCAUGCUUCUCUUCCACCCUUAUCAAGUCAUUCCAACCUAUUACCCCUGAAAUCACUCAUCAAAAUAUCAAGGCAUCGAAUGGAAUGAAAGUGGAAUAAAAUUGAUCAAAUUAAGCACAAAAUAGCAUGUUUCCACAAUUGGACAUAAAUUUUUUUGGACGAAUUUUGAGACGAAAUUGAAAUAAAUUUCGAACAAAUUAGAGACAAAUUUUUUUUUUCAAACAAAAUUGGGACGAAUUUAUUUUGUCCCAAAAAGCCUUGUUGCUAAUUUACAUUUUGUCUGAAAUUUCGUCCGAAAUUUUUUUAGACGAUUUUGUGACAGAUUUCGAAUAAGCAUUUAUCUGCUACAUUUCUAACUAUUAUGAUGUAUUUUAGACGAAUUUUAGACAGAUUAGCCAACAUAAAGAUAAUGUAUUUCAGACAAAUUUCAAACGUAAAAAUAUUUUAUUUUAGACAAAUUUUAAACAAAAAUAUAUUUUAUUUCAGACAAAUUUCUAAAGAAAUUUAGUCAAAUAUAACAAAUUUUUUUCAAACAAAUUUUAGACAAAUCAAAUAUCUCUUUUCAAUUAAAUUUCAGACAAAUUUAAUUUAAAAGAAUUGACGUAUUUGAAACAAAUUUCAUACAAAACAAAAAAUUAUUUUCGCACAAAUUUUCUACAAAUUUAAUAUAAUAUUUCAAACAGUUUUCAAACAAAAUUUGCUAUUUAAUAUAUAAAUAUUUUAGAAAAUAAAUUGUAUUCGAUUUGCUUUCUAUAUUAAGACCAUCAUAAUCAUUUUUUUCAUAUUACAUCAUCAAAAUUAUAAACACAUAAUAAAAUCAUGAAAAAGUUAAUUAACAUAAAAGAGUUAAAAAAAUAUUUAUUAUUAAAAUAUUUUUAUCCAUAAAUAUAAUCAAACUAAAAUAAGAAAAAAAUACUUAAACUAAAACAAAGAAAGCCUUUAAAAAGGUCAAAUAUCAUGAAUAAAAUAAAAUGUACUAAAUCGAAAUUAUAAACACAUAAUAAAGUCAUGAAAAAGUUAAUUACCAUAAAAGAGUUAAAAAAAUAUUUAUUAUUAAAAUACUUUUAUCCAUAAAUGUAAUCAAACUAAAAUAAGAAAAAAUACUUAAACUAAAACAAAAAAGCCUUUAAAAAGGUCAAAUAUCAUGAAUAAAAUAAAAUGUACUAACUAAUUCACCUAAAAAUUUCUUAAUCUAAAUCAGAAAAAACAUAUACUCCUAACUUCAAUCACUUAUGUUAUCAUCCUCAUCAUCACUAGAGCUUGUCCCAAACUCAUCUUCUGCAGGAUCAGACAAAGUUGAAGGAAGUAGGGGAUUCAACUUUUUAUACAAAGCAUGAAUUAUCUUUUUAGUAGAACCAAUUCUUUUUUGUUGAACCUUUAGUUGACAUCCUUGAUCUUUUAACUUAUGCUCGGCAUUAUUCAAAUUAACCUUUUGCUCUGACCACUGGAGAAUACAUAAACCAAAACAAAAUGUUAAAUUCAAAGACAUUGGCAAAUGAUAGAAAAAGAAAAGUGUUAAUAAAGUUGAAAUAAAACUACUAACAGUGUUAAUAGGAUCAAGAGUUUGUAUUGAAUCAACAGCACGAGGGGAAAGAAGCUGAGCUUUCUUCAAUAUGUCUGAAAACUAAAUUAAGGUAAAAAAGUAUACAAGUAUCUAGACUUCACCAUACAGUUCUCGCAAGUUAAGGCUAUUACAUGAAAUAAUCGCUUAAUAGGACCCUGAAAUAAUCGCUUAAUAGGACCCAGCCAAUAACUUCAAUAAAAAUUCAUGUAUAAAACAGAAAAUAAUAUAGCAAGAAGAAUGCUAGCAGCAAAACUAAUCAGAAGAAAUCCAGAUUUCCACCUCAAUAUCAGUACUUGAAUAUAAAUAUAUAUUUGAUUUAAUCCUAAGGCGUUCUGCUCUGAUACCAAUUUGCUCAAGGCUCUGUCACAUGACACAAAACAAAAUAAAUGCAACCAAAUUAGAGAAGGUUAACUGACUCUAAACCCAAAGCACAGUCACAAAUCAAAUAUUAAACUUCAGUGCCCACAUCAGAAAAAUCAAAUAUUAUCCCAAACUACAAUACCAGGAUGCAGGAAAGAAACCCAAUAAAAGCUAACCUCUUCACCAGACACAUAUAAAACUCGAGAUGCUUUGCCUUCACUGCAACCCUUUUCUAUCAUUGUUGCCAUCUUCCAAUCAAAUUGUGACAAUAAAAGAAAGCAUUACUGGUAAGAGUUGUGUAUCCUCUUAAAUUAAAAGAAAUCAAAUUGAACUCCUCCCAAGUCCAAUCAGCAAAAUCUGAAACAAGAUAGAUAAUAAUAACAUUACAACCACAAGAUCGAUUCUGUUACAAGUGAGCCAAUCAUUUCACUUCAUUUGUAUCCUCUUAAUUUAAUUUUUGGCAUUGCGGAUGCGAUCUAGAAAGAACUUAUUGUAUAAAUAUUGGUCUCAUAAAAUUUUAGUACCAGAAAUAAAAUCUCUCACAUAAGGACAUAUUUAUAAAGUUUAACUUUAAUGCACUUUCAGGUUAAGCAAUUUUAGACAUGCAUUCAAUUAGGUAAAGUCACCUAGCAAAAGUAAACUACUUUUUUACAUUGAUUGUAUGAAUGAGAACAGUUGUAAUUGAGCAACUAUGUAAAAAUUUUAGAUUAUUUUACUCGCAUCAAAAUUGGAUUUAUUUUGAGCUUAUUUUUCGUAAAAGCUUACCAUAAUAAGAUGCACCAACUAAGUUAGAUCAUAGCUCUUGACUCAAAUUAAAAAAAUACCUUUUGCACUUGCUCUUCAAGACAGUAGAAGAAGAAGGAUUGAUGUGCCAAUUCCUCUUCCUCUGAUCUGCUUUAAUUACAGACCAAUUUUCUGCACCAGCCUUACCUUAUCUUCCUCCUAAAGAAAUCACAUAAAUGUUUAGCAAUCUUUAUGGAAUAUCCAAUGUGAAUAUGGAAAAAAAACAUAUCAAUAUAUUUAAGAGUUUUCCCCUUGAAUAACAAUAUGAUCAAGUAACUACAAGAUACCAUGAAUGAAUACCAAUUAUAUUAGAUACCAUCAAGAUAAGCACUUGGACGAAUAAAUAAUACUAUGAAAAGUCAAAUGCUUCAACCGCUCCUAUCAAUUUCUAAUACGAAGACAGAAGUGUGUGUAUCUUAUCUAUCUUGUCUAAUGAUGUUGUACUAGUAAUUGAAGUUAAUAUACAAUAAUGUUUUUGUCCUAUUAUAUCACAUGGUGUACAUAUGAUUCUCUGCUACGCGUUAUCCAAUAAAUUUUGGUGAGGCUCACUAAUGCAUUUGAAAGAAAACAAAAUACAAAAUGCUAGAAGAGUGCAAAUUAAACAAGAUUCUUUAAUUCCAGAACAAACUAUUCACCAUUUCUUUAUUUCUAUUUUCUCUAUCCCACAUGCUUUAUAUAUACACAUAGAAACUAUGGUUACAAGCUUAACCCUGGCACUUAAAUUUAACUUUCUAAUUGCUCCAAAAAUUUUAAUAAGUACCAACUAUUUUUCUAUUAUCAAUACUACCUAUUUCAAAGCACAAUUUAUUAGAAAUGAGAAAAAUAUCAUGAAUUCAAUUAUCAGAAGUUAGAAUGCAAAAUGAAGAAACAAUAACACAAUACCCACCAAGUUAACAAUGAAAGUAAGCACCAACCACAAACCUCGUCAUAAUCAAACUCUAAAAAUUUAAAAAACUCAUCAACAAAACAUAACAAACAAAUGAUCAAACAGAGAAUAUGCAUAGUAAUAUUUUUCCAGAAAGAUAUUUGUCCUCUUCUUCAUUUUGGUUAUGAUGCACAACAUACAAGACCAAUCCUACAAUAGCAGAUAAGCCAAGGAGUACCUAGAUCCAGCAAGAGAACCUUCGCUAACCAGGUGCUGAAAAUUGGAAGCUCAUCGUCGGAUCUUUUGGUAGCUGCACAACAGGUCCAUCAAGCCCUAAAAUCAUUUAUUCUCCAGCAAUCAGAAGCAUGCCUCAAGCCCCAAUAGAAUAAAAAAGGGAAAAACUGACCUGGAAAACAAGGGAAGUCAAGGGUUCAUAUUUCAUAGCAUGGUGGACGAAGUGAAGCCGCAGGGACAAUGCGACGCGAACGGAGGUUCAGACGACGUGACGCGACACGAACAGAGACCGAAGGUGCGGGAACUGGCAGACACAGAUGAGCCAACAACGAGAAGAGAGAACGGCGUCGACGACAAUACACGACACACGCACAGAACUUUUGGAGGCGACGAUGCAGUGACGAAGACGAAGCAGAGGACCGAUGAUCGUGGCAGCAACCGUGCGGUGGCGGUGGCUGGUGGUUCUUUUGGGACUGUGAGAUUGACAAAGUAAGGCUGAGUGAGGCUGAGACUUGAGAGUUGAGAGGGAGAUUGAGAGAUGGAGACGGUGAGGUUUGAGAGAUUGCUAAUUUAGCGUUUUUUUUUAUAUAUAAAUCAGCAAAACGAACCGGCUGGUUAUUUAAAACCACCGGUUGACCGAUUUUUUAUCAAAACUGUCCGGUCUAAACCGGUCAUCACCAGUUCUUUUCUUUCUUCGGUCAAACACUUCAACCGGACCGACUACCUGACUGGUUCAUCAGUUUUUUGGUCGAAUCGGUCGGUCCGAUCUGAUUCUUAUAACUAUGGAUUCACAGCCAAGGAACAAAAAAUAAUGGCCCUUAUCAUAAGAACAGAGAAACAGAGGGAAGAAAUAGUUACCUUGUACUAUUCAUG